UUUUUUUUUUUUUUUUUUUUGCCUAAGGUAGGAAGGGGAGGGGGGAAAUUUACACAGGAUAUCAUGGGGGUUUGAAUCCAAGACUACUUGAGCAUACCAAAGGUCCAGAACCUAUUCUAAACUUAACCCAUUUGAGCUAACUCAAGUUCUUAAUAUUAGACAUUUUUUAGCCUCCAUGAUUGUCUACUUUGGAUUAAAAAAAGAAAAACAAAUGGUGCCAAGAAUCAUCUCAUUAUAAGUCAAGCAAAUGCUUCAUUUUCUGUUAAAAAUAAUAAAUUUCUAUGACAUAGGAAAAUAUUUCAACAAAAAAAAAAAACAAAGAAACAGUCGCACAAAAUGAAAUGAACCAUAAGAAAGAAUGCUCAUUAAAAAAUAAAAAUAAAAACUUAAAAAUGGAAAGUGUUAUAGUAAUUGUGUCUUAAACUGGAUGUAAGAAGAGCACUGAAUCGUUGUUGAGACACUAAAAACGUUGUGUUUAGUUCCAUCAUAACAAUCCACGGCUGCCGCUAACUGGCGGACCCAAUUAAAGACAACUGUGGGUAGCUUCCCACACUUACCAAAAAACACUUCAGCCAUAUAAUCCCACUUCAAUUCAUAAUUUUUAAUUAUUUUUAGGCCCUUUCUAAGUAAAGCCCCCACAUAGCCCAUUCAAUACACACUUAAAGCCCAAAACUUAUAUUAAAAAAGAAAAAUCCUAAACUCUAUGUUAAAAAAGAAAAAUAGAGAUCCCACCAAGUUCACUCAUUCUGUAAUUUUGUGGAGAACUCAGCCACCAAACUCGUUAUUUGACAGAAGUCUACAGCCCAACAAAUCAAACUCACUACUUUAAUUGAUUUUACAAGUUAGCACUUAGUUAUUUUUUACAAACUAAUUUCAUUAUAUUCUUAUUUAUAUGCAUUCAAUUUGUAUUGAUGAUUGAUUUUAUUAUAUAUAUAUAUAUAUAUCUUGAUGAAAAAUAAUAUAAACUAUUUAUGAAAGUUAUGGAAAAAUAUUUUAAAAGAAAAUCCGAGUUGGAGUUGUCGGGACCUAUUGGGAGAAGUGAUGAUAGUUCAAAGCAAAGUUGCAUAGAAAUCAAUAUGUCAGAUCUUCAUUCUGAUCCUGGUUUACGAACUCGGAUUUUAGAUUACAAUCCGAACAUUCGAGAUGAAAUUAGAAGAGCUUACUUACAAAAAGGCCCUUGUCAGCCUAGAAAUCAUGAUUUCCCUCAAAAGAAAUUUGGAAAAGAGUCAAGACGAUUCAACCCAGCAUGGUUUGAUGAAUUCCCUUAUUGGUUGGAAUAUAGCAUCAAAGAAGAUGCUGUAUUUUGCUUAUGUUGUUAUCUUUUUAAAACAAAUUUGGGAGAGAAAGCUGGAAGUGACUCAUUUUUUGGUACAGGUUUUUCAAAUUGGAAGAAAAAGGAAAGAUUUCAAGUUCAUGUUGGAGGUCCCAAUAGUUCCCAUAACCAAGCUCUGAAAAAAUGUCAAGCCUUAAUGAAUGAAAAACAACAUAUUGAAAAUGUUUUCCAUAAGCACUCACAUCAAUCUCGAAUUGACUAUAGAAUCAGAUUGAAUGCAUCUGUUAAUUGUAUUAGAUUUCUUCUACAACAAGGUCUUGCCUUUCGUGGCCACGAUGAGUCUGAGGAUUCAAGCAACCAAGGUAAUUUUCUUGAGCUUUUGCAAUUUCUUGUUGAUCACAAUGAGGAAUUUAGAACUGUUGCUUUGAAAAAUGCUCCUGAAAACCUUAAAGUAACUUUACCUAAGAUUCAGAAAGACAUUGUAAAUGUUGUAGCAGUUGAAACUACUGAUGCUAUUAUUAGAGAUAUGGAUGAUGCAUUCUUUUCUAUUUUAGUUGAUGAAUCUCGUGAUGUAUCAGUAAAAGAGCAGAUGAUUGUUAUGUUUCGUUAUGCAGACAAGAAAGGAUCUGUGAUUGAACAGUUCAUAGGUAUUGAACAUGUUACAAAUACCACAGCUGAGUCACUUAAAGCAAGUAUUGAUGCAUUAUUUUCUAGACAUAAAUUGAGUAUAUGCAGAUUACGAGGUCAAGGUUAUAAUGGGGCUAGUAAUAUGAGUGGAAAGUUCAAUGGUCUGAAGACACUUAUUAUGAGGGAGAAUGAGUCUGCUUACUAUGUUCACUGUUUUGCACAUCAACUUCAGUUGGCUAUUGUGGGUUUGGAAAACCUUAGUUUUAAACCCAGAUUUCUUCUUCCUCUCGAGAAUGUUUCGAACAACCAUUUUCAGACAACCAUUUCUCCUCUGUCUGGCCACCAAAUCGAGUGCCACAACUUGCAAACUCUUCACCUCUCUCUCCUCUUCCCAUACAUACUCAUAUCCAGCCUUGAUUCCAAGCGAAUCAACCAGAAAAUCGAGCCAAAAUUGAGCCCAAAAAGGGGCAGCUUCGAACCCAGAAAGUUCGAGGUAUUUUCCGACAGAUUCCAGCCGCCAUAGCUCAGGUAAUUGCACCCAAACUACUCUCCUACCUUCCCUUUGUGUUAUUCCUUCAAAACACAACGUGAAUCCAUUCCAAUUUCUUUGAUUUUGAAACUAAAUUUUUUUAGAUUUUUUAAGAGACAGAAAGCUUCGUUCGAGAGCUUUAAAGUUUGAAUUGAUCGUCGAGCUAAGGUAUAAAGUUACUCCCCUUGAUGUGCUUAAUCCGUAGGUGUGAUUAUUGGCUGGCGGUUUGGAGUUUUUCGAUAGCCGAAAAAUUGCUCAAUGCACCCACUAGCGGUGGCAGCGCGUGGCAGCGCGUCACCGGGGUGUCAAUGUUAGGUUUUUAUCCUAGAAUGAUCCUCGUGUUGUCACGAGCGCAUAGGAAUUCGCUGAUCUUAAUUUGGAUAACGUUUGAAUCCCGAACGGAUCUCGCAUCUUGUGUGAUUUUCGGGUUCAAUGGUUUUGAACCAUUGAUCGUGCGAUUGUGACCAAACCAACCGUCCAUUUCAGACCAGACUCAUGGGACUUGUGUCCUAGGUUUAAAGGAACGUUAAUGUGGGCAUAGGAGUAACUUUAAUUGGAUGCAUGCACUUCUAGGAGCUAGGAUUUUAUUUAAAUAUUUAUAUCGAGCAGUUUUAUUAAUAUAUAUAUUAUUAUGGUAAUUGAAUCAGGCAUUCGAGCACCAGUUGACCCGCAGAAAGGACCUCCAAAAGGUCCAGCGAGCUCAGACCAGCUGUGAGUGGACUCUUUAUUUUCAUAAAUGAAUUUAUGCUAUUGAGUUACAGUAUUUGAUCUUGAAUCAGUUUUAUUCAAAGAUUAGUGUUUUAUUAGUUGAUGUAUGCUUUUAAAUGUUUUGAAUUCACAUGCGACCGAGUGAGAUAUCUUUUAUGGAUAUAGGAAAAGGAAAUUUUAGCUAAAUAACAAAUAAAUGGCAGCAAAGUUCUAGAUUUAACAGAAAUUCAGUUAUUUAUCAUAUUUUUCAAAGAUUUUAGAUUUUCUUAAGCCACCUUAGGUACCCAGUUAUAGAAACAGGUUGCCUUCGGAUAUGACGAUGUCCACGGACAUCCAGGUUGCCUUCAGUUUUGUCAGCGUGCUUGACAUCUGCCUCACGAGUUUCGGGGACGCCGGAAUCGUGGGAGCCAAGACUGCGGAUCAGGCUUACUACGGUCCCCUCAAUUCUGCCAGUUUGCGGCUCGGGUUGACUUUGUGUCACCGAAACCUGCUAGGAAAAUUGACAGAUUAUCAGGAAUUGACAGAAUUAAAGGGGUACACCUAGGUGGUAGUUUUAAACUGAUUUCAAUGCUUUUAAGAGUUUAAAGAUGAUUAUGAGUAUGAUUGAUUUAUAUUUAUAUAUAUAUGGGUGCAUUGAUUUCAGUAUGUAUAUGAUUAAAAGGAUGAAUUAGUUUUGUGUAACUGUUUUUACAGUGGGGUUAGUAUGUUCUUAUGCUAUUUUUCUUAAAACUUUGUUUUUGGGUCCACUCACCUUUUAAAUGUUUAGCGCCCCCAGGCCGUAGACGUGCAUCUGAAAGUCACCACAGGGCAGUUUCCGCUUCCUGCAUCUCUUCAGCCUAUUGUAGGGUCCUUAACCCUCCAAAUGUUCUUCUUGUAAAUUAAUCUGUAUAGAUGCUUUGAUAUUGCCCCUGGGCUCGAACCUUACUGUUGAUUGUAUAUAUAUACGCAUGCCGGAAGUUGGGUUGUGUAUAUAUGCUUGAAAGGACCCGCCCCGAAUUUUCUCAAAACCCGAGACGAACCCUUUGGAAUUCCUGACAUCACUCCGAUACCAGACCCACUUACUAAAAACCGAGACUCCCUGCCGAAAUUUCGGCAGAGUCUCCCCUAUAAAUUGGACAUUUUUCAAAAUUUCAACCUGCAUAAAAACGCAUUUAAUAUCCACAACUGGCAGCAUGCACAAUAUAAUUUCAUGCAGUUCACAUAAAUUGGCCUUCGGCCUUCCAAAAAUUCUCAACACACUACCAAACAAUCCAAAUACAAUUUAUGACUAACAUUUAGUCUGCGGCUGUACCUAAUAACCUUAGGCUGCCUACGUACCCUCCUUGAGGGAUCAAGCCACACGUAGUUCUUCCCAAAACCCAAUUCCACAUUUGGGCGAUACCUUAUUUCAUUUCUCUGUAUUUCAAAUAAUCUCCCCAUACGCCGGUACAACCAACGCCACGUAUGGGGCCUGUCAACACGCCGGAUAACCUACGCCACGUGCGACCAUGCCAUACUAUCAUAAUAUCUCCCCAUACGCCGGUACAACCAACGUCACGUAUGGGGUCUGUCUCAACGCCGGAUAACCUACGCCACGUGAGACCUGCACAUCAUAUCACAUAUCUCCCCAUACGCCGGUACAACCAACGCCACGUAUGGGGCCUGUCCCAACGCCGGAUAACCUACGCCACGCGGGACCUCAAUUUCAUAUCACAAAUCUCCCCAUACGCCGGUACAACCAAUGCCACGUAUGGGGUCUGUCGACACACCGGAUAACCUACGCCACGUGCGACCUCAACACAAUAUCACAAUAUCUCCCCAUACGCCGGUACAACCAACGCCACGUAUGGGGCCUGUCUCAACGCUGGAUAACCUACGCCACGUGAGACCUGAAUAUCAUAUUACAAAUCUCCCCAUACACCGGUACAACCAACGCCACGUAUGGGGCCUGUCCCAACGCCGGAUAACCUACGCCACGUGGGACCUAACUUUCACUUGGUGGUGCUUGUAGUGAAUCCAAAAUUCGGGGAGGUACCUAAAGUAGUGCGUAUAGCACUCCAAACUGACAUUCUAGACUCUGUUGUACCCUUGUACAACCAUAUAUAAUUAUAUAAAUAAUUCUAAUAUUGUGUAACCCUCCACAAUAGUUUAGCUCCCGAUACUCCCCCCUGGAAGGGUGAGAUUACUCCGGGAGACUCACGGUCAAUUAAGGGUCAAACUACUCUAACCCUGGUCAAACGGACCUGCAGAACCCACGACCUCCAAUUUCCGAACCGAAAGGGCUCGUUUGGUACACAGGACUGUCUUGGCAUGGACUAUGUUUAGGGACUGGUUUGGCUUGGCUUGGCUUGGUCUAAGUUGGAUAACACUUAUCCUGCGUUUGGUGUAUGCUGGGACUAGGACUAGAAUUUUUUUUAUUUUUUCAAAAAUAUCUAUAUAUAUAUGUAUAUAUGUAUUUUAUAAUAUAUAUAAUAUAUAUGUAUAUAUUCAUACAUAUAAUAUAUAUAUAUGUAUAUAUACAAGUAUAUAAGUAUAUUAUAAUAAUAUUAUAUAUUUUAAAUAAUAUAAACGUACAUACAUAUAUAUAAGUGUAUAUAGGUGUAUAUAUGUAUAUUAUAAUAUACAUGGGUAUAAUACAUAUACAUAUAUUUAUAUAUAUGUAUGUAUAAUAUAAUAUAUAAUAUAUAUGGGUAUGUUAUAAUAAUAAUAAUAAUAUACAUGUAUAUACGUGUAUAUAUGUAUAUUAUAUAUGUAUGUAUAUAUACAUAUACAUUAUAUAUAUUAUAAAAUACAUAUGUAUAUAUAUACAUUAUAUAUAUAUAUUAUAAAAUACAUAUAUAUAUAUAAUAUAUGUAUAUAUAUUAUAUAUUAUAAUAUACAUAUAUAUACGUAUAUACAUGUAUAUAAUAUAUGUGUAUAUAGGCGUAUCUAUAUAUUAUAAUACAUACAUGGGUAUAAUACAUAUACAUAUAUAUAUGUAUAUUAUAAUAGAUAAUAUAUAUGGGUAUGUUAUAAUAAUAAUAUACAUGUAUAUAUGUAUAUUAUAAUAUAUAUACAUAUAGUAUAAAUAUAUAAUGUAUAUGUGUAUAUACGUGUGUAUAUGUAUAUUAUAAUACAUACAUGGGUAUAAUAUAUAUACACAUAUAUGUAUAUAUACUUAUAUAUAUUACAUAUAUACAUGUAUGCUAUUAUUAUAAUAUUAAUAUGUAUGUGUAUAUGAGUAUGUUAUAAUAAUAAUAUACGUGUAUAUAUCUAUAUGUAUUUAUAUAUUAUAUAUGUAUAUAUGUGUUUAUAUAUAUUAAUGUACAUAUACAUAUAUACAUGUAUACAUGUAUGUAUUAUUGUAAUAUUAAUAUGUAUGUGUAUAUGAGUAUAUUAUAAUAAUAAUAUAUGUGUAUAUAUCUAUAUGUAUUUAUAUAUAUAUUAUAUAUGUAUAUAUGUGUUUAUAUAUAUAUACAUGUAUAUGUGUAUAUACAUGUAUAUAUGUACAUUAUAGUAUAUGUGUAUGUAAUAAUAAUAAUAAUAAUAAUAAUAAUAAUAAUAAUAAUAAUAAUAAUAAUAAUAAUAAUAAUAUAUGUUAUUAGUAUUACAAUAUAAUAUAUGCAUCUUAUACAUUGGUGAACAUAGGACUAGUUAAUCCUCCCUUUCUACAUGGGUUUAGUAGUCCCCUCCUAAUGAGGUAUUUUUGGUGGGCCCGGUAUUAGCAAUCUCAUCUAAGACUAGAAUUUAAUGAAACAAACAUGGUACUAAAUUUAGUCCAAGCCAAGCCUGUGUACCAAACGACCCCUAUGGGUUCUACCAGGUAUAGGACACUUGUCCUGCAAGUUUGGUUCACAUUGGACGGUCGGAUUUCUCACGAUCGCACGAUCUGACAAUUAAUAUAAAAUAUAAACUGUAAAAUUACUAUUCGGAACAUCCGGGGCUCCGAUUCACAAUCCGUGAAUUCCUACACGAUCCUAGAAUUACCUAGAUUAACAUAUAUUAAAUUUGGGACCAUCCAACGGUCCCAACCUAUCGAACCUAGAUAACGCACAAUAUGCGAUUAUCCGUUCGAUAGUCAAACAACGUCCGAAUUGAGAUCCGUGAAAUCCUACACACUCGUGACAACCUAAGGAUCUCAUCGGAACACAGUGCUACUUUUUCCACCAUGCCCACGCGCCGCCGCACGCGCCGGCAGCGCGUGGUGCCCAAAGCGAUAACGCUUCGCCGGAAGAUCUCAAAACCACGGCUCCAAACUCCUACCCUAGGUAUAACACCCUAUUUGGAGCCACUUUUGUUCUUGAACCUACCCCAAAAAGUGGCCGGAAAUGGCCGAUCACGGCAGCCGAAGUUCGGCCGAUUUUCAAUUCGAAAAUCGAAUUGGUUACGCUAAGAAUCGAUCUAAUCCUACCCAACCAUCAGCUAGAGCAUGCAGAAGGGAUGAAUUUCCAUACCUUGAUCGCCAGAAAUGCCGGCCGGAGAGGGAGAUCGGCGGCCAUGAAGAUCGGCGACAUCCAGGCAAAAUCGCCAUUUUUCGGCGACUGAGCGCGGCCGAUGUCGUCGGGGNNNNNNNNNNNNNNNNNNNNNNNNNNNNNNNNNNNNNNNNNNNNNNNNNNNNNNNNNNNNNNNNNNNNNNNNNNNNNNNNNNNNNNNNNNNNNNNNNNNNNNNNNNNNNNNNNNNNNNNNNNNAGAGAGAGAGAGAGAGAGAGAGAGAGAGAGAGAGAGAAAACCCAGAUUUUUAUAAAAAUCCCAUUUCAAAAUAUUUACGAUUGUGCCACUGGAUUUCUUUUGACCAUAUCUCUCUCGUUACAACUCCGAUUCGAGCCCACUACGUGUCUAUGAACUCGUCUCAGUACGACCUAUCCAAAAAUAUAAGUCACGGUCCCAAACUCUCUCUGGUUAAAAAUAUGACUAAAAUAUCCUUAAAUAAUUAAAUAAUUAAAUAAGGGUUAAAUUUGGGGAAAUUUGGGGUCGGGGUGUUACAAUGCUUGUUUUGACAGGUGUGAUUUUGGGAUUGAACAAUUUACAGGGGAGACUCUGCCGAAUUUUCGGUGGAAGUCAAGGCAAAAAUGAAAGUAAGUUUGUAACUAGAAGGGCAACUAGGUCAUUUGUGCUUGGCACCAGCCAUGUGUCGAUCACGAACAAGGUUCGGCUCGAAUUCCAACAGGGAAUUUGGGUAGGGUCCUGUCAAUAAAAAUAUAGGUAUAUUAUUGACCAAAAAAAUUAACAAAAAUAGGUCAAUUACUUUGUAAUUGAAAUUUUCAUACAUUUUUCAUAAAUUAAACAUAGGUACACAAUAAUUUAUAGAAAAUAGGUACGUUGUAUAACUGAAAUUCAUGCACAUUUUUUAUAAAUUGAAAAUAGGUACAUUAUUUAGAAGAAAAAAAUAAGUUCAUUAUACUAGGUAUACAUUAUUAGAGAAAAAAAAAGGUACAUUAUUCAGAGAAAAAAAUAGGUUCAUUAUACUAGGUAAAUUGUUUUACUAGGUACAUUAUUAGAGAAAAAAAAUAGGUAUAUUAUUUUGAGAGAAAAAAUAGGUACGUUAUUUUGAGAGAAAAAUAGGUACAUUAUUUUGAGAGAAAAAAUAGGUACAUUAUUUAGAAAAAAAUAAGUACAUUUUUAGAGGGAAAAAAAAAGGUUCAUUAUACUAGGUAAAUUGUUUUACUAGGUACAUUAUUAGAGAAAAAAAAAUAGGUACAUUAUUUUGAGAGAAAAAAUAGGCUCAUUUAAAAAAAAUUGAUUUCAUAAAACAAACAAUAAAAAGAUGAUCAAAUUAUUUUUCAUAAAACAAGUAAUAAAGAAAAAAAUAGGUACAAUAUUUGGAGAAAAAAUAGGUUCAUUAAAAAAAAUGUUUUAAAAACAAAACAAUCAAUAGAUUAUGAAAUUAUUUUUCAACAUAAUUAGAAUGUACACUAUUAUUUAUAAAACUAUAAUAACAAAGAAUAUUGGUUGUACAACUCAUAAAAAGAAAACAACAUUAAUUCUUAAAUUUAAUAUUGAAUUUAUAUUAUUAAUACUUUAAAUAGAUUACUAGUCGUAAUUCAUAGAAGGAAAACACCAUUAAUUCAAAAAUAGAUUACUAGUCGUAAAAUAGAUUACUAAUACUUUAAUGUGUAAUUUAAUAUUUAAUUUCAAAUAAGUGUCUAAAUUAGUUCUUAUAUCCAUUACAACUAUUUAGAGAUAUUUUCAAAUUCAACGGAUGUCAUUAGUUACACUUCCCAUAACACAUUAACUUAUAAAUAGGGGUAGUUUUGGAAUCAGAAAACUACAAUAAAUCAGAUUUUAAGUCAUAUUAGGUAACUUGCUUGGUUGGAUCCUAGUCAUUAGGUAUUAUUUGAAAAAAUUGGGUAUUUUAAAUAGAAAACUAAAGGAAAAGGUUGUAAGUGAUUUAAAAUGAAUUUUAUGGGUCUAAGCUCAAUUUACUAUUAAUUUUAUUAUGUAGUUCGUAUGACCUUAUUAAGAAAAAGAACUAAAGGAUUAUACUUCUCCAUAAGUGAUCGUAAGAGGAUUGCAUCAUGGACACUGUUGGAGUUAUUUGUGUGGACACCGAAGGACAAAUACCUUCUGGUGCCUUAAGUGGGGGUAUUGCACUGAAGGUGACUGAUACUUCUAAUAAUUUGCACUCGUUUGUUUGUCGUCUGUUUGUAGUGACUAAUAACCUAACAGGUUUUUGUUUUAAAAAAAAUAUAAUAAUAAUUCAGGUUAGUGGGCGAGUGGGAUUAGCAGCAAUGCAUGGUUCAGGCUGUUGGGCAUCCUCCAAAGGUUUUUUUGUGGCGCCAUGUAUAGUUGGCUGUUGUGUAAGUGGUGCUGGAGAAUAUCUAAUGAAAGGAUUUGCAGCUCGGGAGUGCUGCGUCUCUUUGUCACUGUAUGUUUGUCGUAUUACUAUAUAACAAUUUUUUUUAAAUUUUCCUUGACUUGAAGAUAGCUUCUCUGUCUCUCUCUCGGACACACACACUCACACACACCAAGAAGCCAGCUUUAUUGCAUAUUGGACCUGCCAAAGUUGGAGUGGUCAUGAUUUUUCAAAGUCAUAAUUAGCACCCUAUAAAAGAAAGGUAUUAUUAGCACUGUAGAAUAUCAGCUGGGAUGAUCUACAACGUCUAUGAGUUUUUUAGUUUAUAUACCAUGUCUAUUCUUGUCCAGAUGAAGCCAGUAUGUAAACUUGACUUUCAUAUCCAUUGCUUAGUUCACAGGCAGGUCCUGCCUCUGCUUGCAUGAAAGUUUUGCGCUCGGUUGUUCAAGAGAGUAAUCACAAUUGUACUGAUAGAAGUGCUGGAAUUCUACUUGUGCAAGCUGAUGAUCCCACAACAGUGAGUUCCAAGCUAGAACCUUUUGUGUUAGUUGUCAGAAAGAAUUAGUUGUCUGAAACAAAUUUUUUUUUUAUAAAUUUUUUGUACAGGAAUGUUUGUCUGAAAGAAUUGUAUAUUUAUAUGUUGCUUUUUAGGUUUCAGGAAGUUCUCCAAAGUUGAAAGCCAUAGAGAUUGCAGCUGCUUUCUCUUCCUUAUCCUUUGGAGUAGGAUACUUUGGAAGCUCUAUGGAGCGGCCCAAGGUAAUUAUCUGAGUCUGUUUGAUCUUUUUAUUGCUAUCUUUUUCUUCUAUUUGUUAUAAAUAUUUUGGGCCUUGUUGAUCUUUCAGGACUUCAAAGAUCUCAUUUUGUGAUUAUUCUUGUAGAGUGCUGCUAAACAAAUCCUAAAAUUAACUGAGUACACCCUAUUAUAAAAGUAUAUAUUGAAUUACUGAUUUACCCUAAUAUAAAAUGACCAAAAAGGAUAUAUGGAAUUGUGAAACAAAUAUAAUUUUAAUAAGUACACCAUACUAACCAUAUUCAACCCUAAUCAAGAGAUUGCUUGUCCUAUUGUGUUUUUAAUGAAAGAUGUGGUGAUUGCAAGAAAUUGGAAUUGCAAAAAAGUGUCAACAGUUUUAGUAGAAGCAUAAAUCCAUAUGAAAAGUCAAAGAUUUAUAAACAUUAUUAAAAAAAUCAAGCUGAAAAUCAACUAUAAAAUAAUGCUACAAGUAUUAGGGUGUAUCAUAGGUUUUUUUGAUAGUUUUAUAGGGUGUACUUAGUUAAUUUUACAUUUUAAUUAAAAUAUUAGGGUGUACUUAGAUCAUAGGAUGUACUCAGUUAAUUUUAGGGUUCGUUUAGCAGUACUCUUCUUGUAUUGUUUAUGUUUCACAUCAAAUUCUAUUUAGAGGCAUCGCACCAAUUGUUUCUGUUUGUUCCAGUGAAUGUGUAUGGUAAUGAAAGUCCGGGUGAUUAUAUUGUUAUUUGGCAACUUUAAAACUAAAUGCUUCAUCUUCUGCCUCGUACUGUCAAUAUCUAUUUGAUUUCUAACAAGAAUGUUGAAUCUGUAGUGAAUUUGUGGACUAAAUUGUUCCACCUUUCAAGUUUCAAUUCUUAGGACUACAAAAUUGCAAAAAAAAAAAAAAAAAAAAACUGGAGUGGACCAUUUCAAAGCGCGAAUUGAUUGCAAUCUUGUUUGUUUAAUAUUCUGGAUUUGGCUGCUUAUGCUUUGACGUAGAAGAUCAUGUCUGUCAAUUGGCUACUCUUCUCCUUGUCGAAGUACAUCUGGAUGUGUUAAAUUAAGUGUGCUUCUGAUCUGUUAGCUGUUGUUGCUGGUACUGGAGUAAUUGGUGAAGCAAUCUGGCAGAUCUCCUCAUAGCAGACAUCUCCAACCAGCCGAUAACCUCGAGGGCACUUUUCAUCCUGUCAAAAAAUACACACAUCAUGAAUGAGAUACAAUCAUCAUGGCAUGACCAAAUAAUCAAAUUUCAUAUUUCAGGAACGAUAUUCCAAAUGUAUCUGAUAACCUAGUCAGUGCAUUUCUGUUAACAAAGCAUGAGGGAAAUCAGCCCAAAACAUUAGGGACUGACCUUAAGAUAUGAUGAAUUUCCUAAGCAUCAAAUUGAAAGGCAACAUCAACAUUGCAUGACCAAAUCAUCAAAAUUUUUUAACAAUGAUAUUUCAACAUAUCUACUAACAAAAUCUAUGCUUCAUUUCCUAUUCACAAAUAUAUCUGAGUCUGACAACCAAAUCAUCAUCAUCAUGAGAGAGAGAGAGAGAGAGAGAGAGAGAGAGAGAGAGAGAGAGAGAUUAUGAUAUCGCCUUGUCUUGUGAUCUCCUCAGGAUUCUUGGUUCAAGAAUGGACUAUACUGUUGGAAGCAUCUUCCCUUUACCAACAUUCAGAAAUCGGCUUGUCUUGUGAUCUCAGGAUUCUUGGUUCAAGAAUGGACUAUCCUGUUUGUAGUAUCUUCCCCCUACCAACAUUCAAAAAUUAAGUUUAAUUCAUGAAGUAGGAUACCAAACGGGCCCUAAGUAACUUAUUACUGAGGUAAACGAAAAUCACCUGCAGCAAUAAAGCAGCUGGCAUCCCAACAAGCAGGCAUAAUCCUUAAUAGUUUUUCGUAGUUGAGUUGAGUACUAUCACGCAUGUGUGACGAACAAACUAAGUAACUACCUUGCAAAGCAACCCACCCCCAAAUCAUGCUGCCUGUGUGAACAAACAAACUUUGUACAACCAGCUUGAAUUGCCUCGACACGACGCAGCCACUACUUUGACUCUUUCUCGCUGGUAACGUACACAUGAAAACUAUUAGAUUGUUUAGUCAUAAAUCAUGGGAGAACUACCGUAAUUCUAAUAAUUUUGCACAUUCAUAUACAUUACAUGGUCAUGAAAGUGAUACAGAUCUCUGCAUGCAUACAUCUAGCAUGACAAAUGGCAAGACAUCAUAAUGAUCCAUAGAUCAUCUUUUAGUGACUAUUGCAAGAUAUGCCUUCAAAACAUUAGAAUAACUUGUUAUUUAUGUUCUUCUCAUUGUAACAUAAUUUCACAAAAGGGAAAGCAAAAUUCAAAUUUACAAGCAUACACAAUGCUAAAAUAUGAAUAUGGUUUGAAUGUAUAGAAAUUUAGUUAUAUACCCAAUCUUAGACAUGGUUUUAUAAAGAAACCCUACACCGUUUAAAAACUAUAAACACACCCAAAAACAAUUCAAAAAUUGACAGCUAUCAAUUUUUUUUAAUUUAAUAGUUGUUUUUUAGUUUAUUUGUAUGUGUUAAAUACCUAUAUUGUCCUUGUACUAUGGAUUUAAGAUAGGAAAAUCAGAUCUGCCAUAAAACCAAAUAUUUCCAUGUCUGCCAAAAAACCAAAUCUGCCAAAAAAACCAAAUCUGCCAAAAAAUCAAAUCAGAUUUAUUUUCUCCUUUCUCGCUGGUGUUUUCUCUGGUGUUGGAGCAAGAGGAGCUUCCAUUGAAGCUCAGUCUCAGGUCCAACUAUAUUAUUCAUCUUUAAUCUACAAUUUUCAAUAUUUCACCUUCAAUUUCUUGUUCUAAAAUCGUGCUUCUAUUGAUUUUUUCUUUUUUUCGGAUUGUUCAAGACCUUGAACAAACCUCGAUCAGAUGCUUUUAGCUCUACUCCUCAUCUUCGAGCUCUACUCCUCUUUCGCCACAUCGUUGUCGUUGUUAUCGUCGUCAUCGUCGUCGUCGUCGUCGUCGUUUGGUUUGUACUUGAGAUUUUUGAUCUUUUGCUUCAAUUAUGUGUUUCUCUUCGGAUUUUAGUUGAUUUUCGAAAUGUAUUUGAAGCUUUGAUGAUCGAUUCAACUUUUGUUACUAUUUCAGUUAUGAAUCUCAUUUUUGUUUAACAAUGUACUUCUGUGAUAGGGUAUUAACAAUGUACUUCUAUGACAGAGUAUUAACAAUAUACUUCUAUGACAUAAUAGUAUUAACAAUCUGGGCUCAGCUUGUUUUGAGUUGGUUUGGUUUGUUCUUUCUUCAUCUUUUCUUUGGUGGACAUGUAUUAGAAAUAGCAACAUGAUAAACAUUAAUCAACAUGACAGUAAACUAGCAGUGUUAUUACCCUAGACUAGAACAUUACAGGGGUAAACAUGCAUUAGAAAUAUGAUGUCAUAGGAAAUAGCAGUGUUAUUACCCUAGACUAGAACAUUACAGGGGUAGAUAUGCAUUAGAAAUAGAAUAUCAUAGGAAACGAGCAGUGUUAUUACCCUAGACUGGAACAUUACAAGAGUAAACAUGCAUUAGAGAUAGGAUGUCAUAUGAAACUAGUAUUGUUAUUACCCUAAACUAGAACAUUACAACCAUUAAUCAGCAUGACAAUAAACUAGCAAUGUUAUUACCCUAGAUUGGAACAUCAGCCAUUAAUCAACAUGACAAUAAAAUAGCAAUGUUAUUACCUUAGACUGAAACAUUACAUGGGCAGACAUGCAUUAGAAAUAGGAUAUCAUAGGAAACUAGCAGUGUUAUUACCCUACACUGGAACAGUACAGGGAUAAACAUGCAUUAGAAAUAGGAUGUUAUAGGAAAUUAGCAGUGUUAUUACUCUACACUGGAACAUUAUAGUCAUUAAUCAACAUGACAUAGCAGUGUUAUUACCCUAAACUGGAACAUUACAACAAUUAAUCAACAUGACAAUAAAGGUGUAGAACAUUACAAUGAUUAAUUAACAUGACACGUUAAUGAAACUACGGUUUUCAAGACCUUUUGUUUGUAAUGAAUUGUUUGAGUUUUUUUAUAAAAUUGGGCUGGGCUUGUUUUGGGUGCUAUUUAAGUUUUUUGUGUUGGUCUUCUUUUUUAAAUUGAUCAAAGGCAGUCAUGUAAUUUAUAAGAACUUAAACACUAAUUUUUUAUGUAGUAAAUGAGUUUUGGGUGUGUUUCUAAAGUGCAAUCCAUGUGAGAUUUUUUAUAAUUUCAGCCCUUAUUUUGGGUAUAUUAGUGAAGCUCCCUUGAAUGUAUUAGGUUUAAUUUAUUCUUCUCCAUAAGGAGGUAUUAAGAGUUUACAUAUGGGCUUUAUAAGGAAUUAGAUACAGUAAAGAAAUAUGAAAGUAUCUCCUAAUUGUACAAUGAUUUAUCAAUUAUAUAAAAAAAUAGGAAAGUAAAUCCCUUAAUUAAUCAAGGAAAUAAAUCUCCUUGAUUAAUUAGGAGACUCACGUCAACACUCUUCCUCAAGUUGGUGCAUAUAUGUUACCAAUGCCCAACUUGGUAAGUGAGUCAUGAAAUACUCUGCUAAAUGUAACACCCUGACUCCAAAUUUAAUUUCUAUUUUAAAUUAUUUAAGUGAAUUUACGAAUUUACCCUUAGGGUAGGGGUAAAUUGGUCAUUUUCUUGUCCGAAAAGUGUUUGGGGCAGUGACUGGAAUUUUUAGGUAGGUGGUACUGAGACGAAUUUGUAGACACGCGGUAGGCUUGAAUCGGAGUUGUAACGAAAAAGUUACGGGCAAAACACUAUUAGUGGCAAAACUGUAAAUAUUUCAAAAAGGGUUAGAGUAAAAAUCAGAUUUUUCCAGUUUUACCUCACUCUCUCUCUUUCUCCCCAUUCUCUCUCUCUCCCGCGUCGUCCCUCCUCCUCCUUCGACUGCAAAACGCACGGCCACCGUCACAGGCCACGGCCAGCCUCAAGACCGGACCCAAAACAUCCGGCCAGAUCUCGCCGACGUUCCCCGACCCACCUCCAGCCGUCAGCUGCAGCCACGUUGUCGGAAAAUACGAAUUUCAGGCCGGUUUUCGUCUGAAAUUCCAGUCACUCGUUCUCUCUCCUCCGACCACUAUUUCAGACGGGUGAGGUAUGGUUUCUCAUCCAUUUUUCAAGUCCUAGCUGACUGUUGUAUAAGUUUGGACCGAUUCGUUGUCUAGGAAAUCGAUUAAAAAAUCUAGGUUUUGGCCGGAUUUCAAAAUGAAAUUCCGGCCAGUUGCCGCCCGAAUUGGACCUUCCCGUAAUUGAAGGAAGUGAUCCUGACCCCGAGUAGGAGCUAGGGUAGGAAUGGUGAGCUCGAGUGUGGAGUUUUUUCGUUCCCGGGAUUACUCUACACACCCACGAGCUGCCGGCGAGUGUGGCGGCACAUGGGCGAGGCUGGUGAGGGUGUAAAUUAACCCGAUGAGAUCCUUAGGUUGUCACGAGCACGUAGGAUUUUACGGAUCUCAAUUCGGACAUCGUUUGACUAUCGAACGGAUUUUCGCAUAUUGUGCGUUAUCCGGGUUCGAUAGGUUCUGACCAUUGGAUCGUUUCCUAAUUAAAAUAUGUUGUUCUAGGUAUUCCUAGGAACGUAUAGAAAUUCACGGAUCGUGAAUCGGAACCCCGGAUGUUCCGAUUCAAUAACUUUAAGUUUGCGUUUUAUAAUAACAGUCCAAUUGUCCGAUUGUAAGCGAUCUAACCGUCCGUUUCGAACUACACUUGCGAUACGGGUAUCUUAGACCUUGUGAAACCUUUAGGGACUUUCGGAUUGUAAAACGGAGGUCGUGGGUCCCGUGGGCCCGGUUGACCCAAAUUGGGAAGUUUGACCGCUGGUUGACCGAGUGUCUCCCGAAGUUGUUCCAUCGUCCAAAUCGGGUAGUUGGACCUUAGAACGUCUCGUUCCUAGUACACUUACUAGAAACCUGGGAAAUUAGAAUAUUUAAUUCAAAGUACUUAUUCGAAACGCUUUGUAUUAAUCUCGUAUACGUAUUCUGAAUUAGGUACUCCGACCACGCAUACGCAGCAGGCGGGACCCUCUCAGGGUCAAGCAGCGUGGGACUACUUGUGAGUGGACUUUGUUUUCAAAUCUUAUGCAUGGUUUUAUUGAUGAAAGAUUUGUGCAUAAUGUUUUUAAUGAUUUAUUGAAUAUAUUAUAUUCAUGAGUUGAAUUUGAUGUUUGUAUAGUGCUUUGGCAUAGUUGGGUAUUGAAAGUAUAUUUUAUAUGGAUUUUGGGAAAUAUUAUGCAUGAUAUUUUAAAUGGUAUUUUGAAUAUAUUAUUUAUGAAAUUGUUGAAAGUGAUAUUUUUAUGAGGUAUUGGAAAUAUAUUUUGGAUUUUGACAUAUUUGAGUAUCUUGAGUACGAAUAUUUGGAUUUUGAGAAUUUCUAUAUAUAUUUGGCUAUGUGUGAGGUACUUGGGUUGUUGAGAUGAGAUUGUGGAAAGUGGUGAGUAUAGAAUGUCAGUUUGGAGUGCUAUAAGCACUACCCUAUAUACCUCCCUGGAUGUGGAACUUGGAUACGGAGACUUGAGAUACUUGGAAUUGUCGGAACUCGGGGCAUCCUUGACGGGAUGUUGCUGUAGACCCUUGAUUGGGUAGUCUGCGCGCGUAGGACUGAUGACAGACGUACGGGUUUUGAGGUUAUCGACGGUACGUGCUGGCUGAGAGUUGGUCCCCCGGACGGCUCGUUCCCUAGUCACAUGGUGGAUUAAGGACUCUUCAUGAGGACUCAGCCAGGAUGACUAGUCAAACAAUCCCCCGGUUGGAUUGUUUUCCCGGUACUGUUCACCCGUUUUCGUGUUUACUCCUUAGGUGGAAGGGCUAAGUUCCCCACUGGCUUGGAGACCAUUUGUUGGUCGACAAGUCAGCUUUCUUUGGUGUGUGAGCGUGUCACUGCUAGCAAUGUAAAUUCUAGCAGACUUCUUUUAGAGUGGAUAACUUGCGCCCCAAGUUACUGACUUCUAAAACAGAUGAUUGUGAAUUUAGGUGAGGAAUAUCUCCCAAGUAAGUUCUUUUCUUGCCUCAGACUGGUAAGGACUUUCAUAAUUUAUCUCAGUAUCAAACGGCUGUUCUGGCCAGAAAAAUUUGAUAGAAGUUGGGCUUUUUUAGGCAGAACUGCCUUUUACAAAACAAUAAAUAUGCAUAUCGACGCUAGGAAGGUUAAAAGACGGCCGGAACUCCGUUUCUGCUUGGAUGGAAGGCUCUGGCUUGGGCUGGACUGGACACAUCUGGGUCGGUCCGUACUGCUUCGUGCCUUCAAAUGCUAGGUUGAGCUAUAAAUCGAUACCAAAGUUCGAUUUUGGCAGAGCUUUAUGUUUACUUCACGCUUCGUGAGGCCUUUUAGUGGGUAGAACUGCAGCUUCUUCAGUUUGAAGAGGCAGAAGUGGCUGUUCUCGAGGGCUUGGUGGGCUAGGGAUUGCACUACGAGUGUUGUUCUGCUUGAGCAGGACUUUUUCAUAAGUUCGCUGAGGUCUCCACGUUUGUGAAGAUUCAAAUUCUGCUUGCCUUGGCUUUUUGCUGAACCAAAUUUGUAACGAGAGAGAUCUCGUUUUCAGAAGACUUAUUUUCUAAGUCUGAACUUUGGAAUUCUGAUCUAAAGCUGGUUUCUCUUGGAAUCCAAGUGAGCUUUUGGUUGUUUUCUUGUUGUUUAUUUUUUUUGAUUGAUGAAUUGAGUGUCCUUUCCUUCCUUGCCUACUUUUGUUUUUAUAAGAGACCCUCUUGGGGAGGUGGUUUCAAAUUUAAAUAAUGGGCGGUAAAAUGAUCUCCUAUAAUAUAAAGUAAAAAAGGAUUUUAUCAAUCAUGGCAGAUAAGCUCUCCGUACAGCCUAUUAAAGCAGUCCCUUCCCUGGUGUCCUACUCCCAGCUUUCUAUUUCCAUCAACCCCACAGUCCGUGUGGGCUUUUUUGGCAGUUGGUUUUUCUUUCGUAUUUUCUGAACAGCUCCCCGUUUCCCGUUCUAAUUUAGAAAGCGUGACCCGUGAAUUCCUUGGAAGAUGGUGUAUUGCUUUUUGGAGUAGAAUCUCCGAUCACAGAUGGGUUUUGAUCUUCUGCUGGCAGUGUUUCAGAGAUGUCCCUCUCAUAUUUUAACUUAGUUGAAAUUGCUGACUUUUCAAAGCUGAGGCAAUCAGGUGGGUGUGUUUUUAAUUCCCUUGGGUUUAAAACCAACAAAAUUUAUGGGCUGAUCCUUGAAGCCCAAGUGAUAGUUUCCACGUUGAUCUUUCUUGGGCCCGGUUUUUUUUGUUCUUGACAUCCUGGCCUGAAGCCCAACCUGUCUGGAUCCUAAUUUUGUUACCCUUAAGUUUUUGGGCUGGGCAUUUAAUUUCACCAUGGGCCUGUCUUUUGAACUUUGGCGUGCCAAAUUUAGGCCCAAACAGGUACAACUAGGUGAUGGUCAUAUUUAUAUUAUAUAUAUAUCUCUUAUAUUAUAUAUUUAUAUUUAUUCAUUCAUUCUUGUUUCUCGGUGUGAAUACUUCCUUGCCGAUCGUGCCAAUGGGUACGCUUUCGAGAGUUUGGUUGUGGGAUUUAUAAGUUUUUGGAUGGUAGGUUUUGUAAAGCGUUCUUUAUGGAUUUCGGACUUGGCAUCUGGUAUUGAUUUGUUUUGAUAUAUAUUAUAUAUAUAUAUAUAUAUAUAUACUUGAGUAUGACGGUUUUGAGAUGCAUGAGAUUUCUUGCAUGGUUUUCUAAACGGUGGGGUUAUAUUACGUUGGUUUACACUGAACUGAAUUUAUUUUUGUCCACUCACAAUUUUCUGUUUUGCGCCCCCCAGCCAGUAGUUGACUGAGCUUCGCAACAAAGCCGGAUCGUGCGCUUCCGAGCCUUGAGUCAUCGUAGGACUCUUUCUUCAUGUUUUUCCCUUUGAACUCUGUUUUGUUGAAAUUGAAGUUCUUAGACAUGCUCUGUUAUCACCCCUGUUAGGGUUUGAAUUUUGAGGCCAGAGGCCAUUUUGUUGUAAACUGUUUAUUCGCUUUAAAGAAUGCUGCUGGUUGGGAUUAUUCUGUAUUUUUUUUUGCAGGUUGAAUUUUGUUGAUUUGUUCAAUUCACAGGGGAGACUCUGCCAAAAUUUUGGUAGAGAGUCUCGAUUUUUAGUAAGUGGGCCCGGCAUCGGGAAGAUGUUGGAACAAAGACGGGAUUCGCCCUGGUUUUGGGGAAAUUUCGAGGAGGGUCCUGUCAUACAAACAGCUUUUGUUAAGAUAUCUGCCAGUUGAUCUUCUGAUUUUACGAAUGGUAGAUGGAUGAUCUUCUUCUCAAUCUUGUCUUUGAUAAAAUAUCUAUCCACUUCAACAUGUUUGGUUCGAUCAUGUUGAUCUGGAUUAUGGGCAAUGUCAAUGGUUGAUUUGUUAUCGCAAUGUAAUUUCAUUGGCUUUCCUAGCUUGAAACCCAAUUCUUUCAAUAGUCUUCUGAUCCACAAUAGUUCACAAACUCCGUUAGCCAUUCUUCAAUACUCUGCUUCUGCACUAGACUGAGAAACCACAUUUUAUUUUUUACUCUACCAAGUGACUAGAUUACCUCCUACGAAGGUAAAGUAACAUGAAGUAGAGCGUCUGUCAGUAAUGGAGCCAGCCCAAUCAGCAUCUGUAUAUUCAACAACUUCGAGAUCUCUAUUUUUUUUAGAACAUUAAUAAUUACUGACUUUAAGUAUCUUAAGAUCCGAUCAACUGCAUUCCUAUGGGACACACUGGGUGAAUGCAUAAACUAACUAACCAUACUCACAGCAUAUGCAAUAUCUAGUCUUAGAGGACGUAUGAAAAGUAGAACAUUUGGUGGUGGUGAUAGAAGCAGGAGUCCGAGUAGCUGGGUCAAUAGGAGUGACUGCAUGCUUCUGUGAGUCUGCAAUAAGAUGGAGAAUCGUAGGGGUUCCUGACAUCGUAUCGGAAGUAAGAUAUGAUAUGAGAAUGUGAGGAAUUUGAUGUAGGAAUUGGAUUUAAGAGGUAUGUGUAUAAGAUUUGAGGGUAUGUGUUUAGGGAUAUGGAUAAGAGGAUUUGAAUAUGAUAAAUUUGAGAUAAGGGUUUAGAGGCAAAACAACUUCUCUCCACUCCCCCUCUCUCCCUGAAGAAAAGGGGUCGUCAGAGUAAAGAAAUAUGCAGUAUCUUCAUGGGAAUACGUCAAGGUAAUGGGGAUAUGUCAGUAAACAUAUCAUUUUCACUCCCCCUCCCCCCUUGAAAAGGAGGGGAGGAGAGCACUUAAAUUUCAAGAAGAACGCAAGCACAGGUCACAAGAGAACCUGGCUCUGAUACGAUGCUAAAGUAUGAAUAUGGUUUGAAUGUAUUAGGUUUAAUUUAUUCUUCUUCAUAAUGAGGUAUAUAUAAGAGUUUACAUAUGGGCUUUAUAAGGAAUUAGAUACAGUAAAGAAUUAGGAAAGUAUCUCAUAAUUAUACAAUAAUUUAUCAAUUAUAUAAAAAAUAAGAAAGUAAAUUACUUAAUUAAUCAAGGAAAUAAAUCUCCUUAAUUAAGUAGGAGACUCACGUCAACACAUAAGGCAGAUGUAGAGAUGAAGUUGAGCAUUUCUGUACUUCGAAUGAAUUAAUCCCAACAGAAUCACAAGCUUUUUUCUUGUUGCGCAAAUUGUAAUUUGUAUGUGCCACUUUCAUUAUAUCGUGACCACACAAUCAUGGUUGCCGUGUAGCCCAUGGAAAUCAACUCUGCAGUCUGCACUGGCAAUUGGUAUAAUUCAAUUUGUGGAAAUUGCUACAACCUCACAGGUCAACUGUAUCUGAAUACAUUAUAAAUUAAUAUAAUAAUGAUAAUAAUAAUAAUGUUAGGCUCAUCAGAAUAUCUUUGCUCAUUACAUUAUAUGUCCUCACAAAAAUAAAAUAAAAUAAUCAAAUCGGAAAUCGUUUAACCGUUUGAUUAUUAUCAUAAUAUUUCAAUUACCCGUAGGAAAUAUCUGUAAACACGAAUUUCUUGCGACAAAUGAGACAAGAACACGUGUAUAAAAUAAUAUUUGUAUUAAUGAAAUUUAAUGUUCCAAUCUCUGUAUUAAAUCCUCUGAUUCGAUCUCCAAAGUGUUUAAAGAAAAUUUGUGUUUGAUACAAGGGUCGUAGAGACUUGAUCUUGAUCAAACGGGUAGCACAAGGCUUGUUUGGUGUUAGGAUUUUUCUAGGGUAGAGGAACCGGCACGUAUUUGUUGUGCUUUAUGGCUCUUCCAAAGUGAGGUGAAUAAUGCAGAAAUUUUUUUGUUUCUUCUGAGUGCUUGGUUUGUCUCCGCCCCUGUCUUUCUUCUUGAGACCUCCUAUUUAUAGGUCCCUGCAGGAUGCUUGACCUAAAUAGCUUUCCUUCUAUAGGACCCUGUUUUGUGGGAUUUUGAUUUGAUUUAAAAUCAAUUCCGAUAAUUUGGCAAUUUAACCAAAUUAUCUUCGAUUGAUUGACUUGAUUAAUAUUUGAUUUAAAUCAAAGUCAAUCACAGAAAAUUCUUUCCUUUAAUUUUGUUUUCACUUUAAACCAUUUGAUGCACUCCGUCGGAUGUCAACACAUGUCACUUUUGAUAACUAAUCCGAUUUUGAUGAGUCGUACACCACAUGGGCGAAUUAUGAAACCUACAAUUUAAUCCACCAAACCCUAAUUAAUUUCUUACUUAGUGGAAUUUAAUUCACCAAAAUUUCAUUGUCUACAAAUUGCCUCCACUUCACAAUGCACUGUAGAUGUGUGUUUGCCACAUAUCUAUAGUGUGACUUGAAGUCCCUCUUGAUGGCGAAUGCAUUUUGUUCACAGGUAAAUUACAAGAGUUGAUCUUAAUUUGAUGAAGCCACUCUUGUUGGCGAUCACCUUUCUAUUGUUGCAAUGACCUUUCUUGUACAAUUUUUUUAUUUUUUUAUUUUUUUUAUUUUUAUUUAUUUUUUAUUUUUAUUUUCACUUGGUGGUAUCAACUCUUGGCCGAUAAUCAUUUGCAUGAGUGCAUUAAACAUGGGCUUUGGCACAACCAGAUCCUGGACCAUCGGAACUCCAGAUCAUAUAGUUUCAUAUGAUAAAGAAAUCCUUGUAUUUUGAAGAGGCCUCCAACUAAAUCAACAAUCUUGCGUGGUGGUGAAGAAAAUUCCAUAUUACAUAAGCACAAUUGAUGGCUUGAUCAUGUAUCAUCACAUAAUUUCCUUGAAUGCGUUGGAAAUUAAAGGGAAAACAUUUCGUGCUCAAUUUUGUCUUGCUACUUUCGUGGCAAAUAAACAUGGUCUCGAUCAAAAGGGAUUAUGAUCUUGAAUGCUCUAAAACAAAAAUGGAAAGAAUAUGCCCGUCCUGAUUUUUUAUUAAAAUAUUUUGGGACCCAAACAAGGGAAUUCCCUAUGCAUCUUUUGCUUGGUUUCUGCACCAAAGCUUCCACUUAUCUUUUUCAAUACGUCGGCAGCAUCCCUUGGUAACUAAUAAUCACAUGGUUGGUGGUGUUUCUCUUGCUUGAAGUUGUGUGCCUUCUUAGCCUUGAGCCCGUGCUCACCCAACCUCACUGAGCCAAUCGCCAUGUUCAGAUCUUUUCCUUUGUUACUUGGUCGAUGCUUAAUGAACUCGUCUUGGCACGAUGAUGUUGAUAAGUUGUUGCUCCUAUACUCCAUUGAAGUGGGGUCAAUGUUUUCUUACAUGAAGGAAUAUGCCACACAUGUAACUCAUGACAAGGAGGCCAUAAAGCAAUCAGCCAGAAACUUUUUAUUAUUUAUUAUUUAUUAUUUUUCUUCUUUUUUUUUGGCUAGGCACAUGUUGCUAAAAGGGCCAAACCUAGAGUUGCAAUUGAGGAUUUGAUCGCAGCUAGAUUUUUGAAGCGCAAACCGAGAUGAUUAAACUAUCAAUACCAUGAUGCCAGAGACUUCUCAAAAGGUGGAGUUCAUCUUGUUGGAUAUGUGAGGCGUUACAUGCAUCAUGUGGCCCAAGUGAAGGUCUGUUGAGGUUUGCAUCCACCAGUCGACGACGAAAGAAAAACGUAGAGGUCCUAACUGCUUGGGUUUGAACCAUUUCUUUGAUUUGGUGAUAACCCACUCAAGUGCUUAGGCUUGAUCUUGUUGGAGAACGAGUGAAGAAUGUAGACGUCCUAUACCGCUUGGGUUUGAUCCAUCUCUCCGAUUUGGUGAUAACCUACUCAAGCGCUUAGGCUUCACGUAUUGGAGGACGAGUGAAGAACGUAGACGUCCUAUACCGCUUGGGUUUGAUCCAUCUCUCUGAUUUGGUGAUAACCCACUCAAGGGCUUAGGCUUUACGUAUUAGAGGAUGAGUGAAGAACAUAGACGUCCUAUACCGCUUGGGUUUGAUUCCUCUCUCCGAUUUGGUGAUAACCCACUCAAGUGCUUAGACUUUAUAUAUUGGAGUAUGAGUGAAGAACGUUGACGUCCUAUACCGCUUAAGUUUGAUCAAUCUCUCCAAUUUGGUGAUAACCCACUCAAGCGCUUAGGCUUUACGUAUUGGAGGACGCCCAACUUGAUCGAGCACAAAUACUUUCCCAAAGAGACUUCCUUUUCCUUAUUUAUUUAUUUAUUCAAGAUUCACCAAAGAAAUGAUCCAUAGUGAAGCUUUUGGAGUGGAUAGGUCAUGGUAAAUUACAAAUUGCACAAAACAAGGCAAGAUAUUCAUUUGACGAAGGCCAAGGUAGUGAAUGGUGUAAGAAUAACAAGGGUGAACAAGGAGUACCAGCUUGAUGUUGAACGAAAGAAGUUAAUGUAGCCCUGACGGAGCGAAUUGGAAGUCAAAUAGUGCCAAACUAAUGAGAAACUCCAAAUUUAUUUUAUCAUGUGACUGAACUCAAAGUGGUCUUAUGAGCUGCCUACGUACCCUUAUAGGAAAAAAAGAGAUCAAGUCACGACGUAGUUCAAUGUUUUUCUUGGUUUUUUGGUUUUUUUUUCUUUUUUUUUUUUAGUUUGCAGUUUUAGCUCAUGCAAGCGAGGGAGCAUUUGGUGCCUUGUGCAUUUUUGGCUCUUGCAGGCGAAUGAGCGUUUUGGUGUCUUGUGCAGUUUAGGCUCGUGCAGGCGAACAAAUGAGCGUUUGGUGCCUUAUGCAAUUUCGGCUCGUGUAGGCAAAUGAGCAUUUGGUGCCUUGUGCAGUUUAGGCUCAUGUAGGCGAACGAAUGAGCAUUUGGUGCCUUAUGCAGGCGAAUGAGCGUUUGGUGCCUUGUGUAGUUUAGGCUCGUGCAAGUGAACGAAUGAGCUUUUGGUGCCUUGUGUAGUUUCUGCUCAAACAUGCGAAUGAGCGUUUGGUGCCUUGUACAGUUUAGGCUCGUGUAGGCGAACGAAUGAGCGUUUGGUGCUUUGUGCAAUUUAGGCUCGUGCAGGCAAACAAAGCAGCAUUUGGUGCCUUGUGCAGUUUCGGCUCGUGCAGGCGAAUGAGCAUUUGGUGCCUUGUGCAAUUUAGGGUCGUGCAGGCGAACGAAGGAGCGUUUAGUGCCUUGUUCAGUUUUGGCUUAUGCAGGCGAAUGAGCAUUUGGUGCCUUAUGCAGUUUAAGCUCGUGCAGGUGAAUGAAUGAGCGUUUGGUGCCUCGUGUAGUUUCGGGUUGUGCAGACGAAGGAGCAUUUGGUUGAAUUUGUGUCAAGCUAAGUGAGAAGUGUCCUCCUUAUGUUUUUUUUUUCACCUUGAGAGGUGCUCGACACAUUAUUCUUGAAGAAUCCUUUGGGGAAGAAAUCAUGUAGCAUGAUGGGGCUAAGUGACCUUUGUUUCAAAAGUUCAUCUUUUGAAACCAUUUUGUUCAUAUUUGACAAUUUAUUUCCUCUAUGCCUUUUAGGUGGUUCAGAAGAACUUCUUUUGUUUACAAAUUUUUUUUACCGAGCAGUUCUUGGCAAAGAUGCAUUCUUCUUAUGUAACUUCUUCUGAGUGACCAAUGUUCAUCCUUCAUUAUCGUCAUCGGAUGAAUCGACACUACUUCGACUUAACACCCCAACACACUCAUACAGAUUGAGUUGAUGGGUUUCAGAGAAUGCCCCUAGUGGUUGAAGUGAGGGCAAAGGUGCCGAAUCAGAGAAGACAAAUGAGAUCGUAGCAUGGUUUGACUCUACCAACUUGUCAAGAUCUAUUUCGAUUCUUCCUUGUUGUGCCAACUUCAUGAUGAGAUCUUUCAACACGAAACACUUUUCCACUGGGUGACAAAUGACACGAUGGUGCACGCAGUAUUUUGGUGGUUAAUAUGAUUCAUCUCUUUAGAGCGUUUGCACUCGGGUAACUCAAUCACCUUCUUCUCGAGUAAGUCUUCCAGCAUGCCUUCUACGUCAAAGUCUAGAAAAAAGAUACUUCCUCUCCUUCAUUUCUUUUAGGAUGUGUCAUCGUGGUUCUUGAUCUUGAGUUGACUCGGCCUUCCUCUCAUCUUUCUUGCCUAAAGCGGAAACCUUCAUUGGAGCGGCACUGAUCGUCAUUGACUCCAAGAUGCGUGUCUUCAAAGAGUCUGCCCCAUUUCUCGAUGACUUCUCAUUUCAAUGAUCACUCACUAUUUCAUUUCUUCCAUCGUGACUAGUGUUACUUAGCUCUAUGUCAUGCGCACGAGUGGUCAAUUCUUCAAAGCUAUGGGGUUUGAUCCCUUGAAGAAUAUAAAGCAGACCCCAAUGCAUACCUUGAAUGCACAUCUCUACCACCGAUAACUCUGAGACUCGAUCUUUGCAGUUGAGGCUUAAUGAACUCCAACAAUUGAUGUAGUCAACAACAGGUUCAUUUUUUUGUUGCUUUGUGCUAGUGAGCUUUAGCAUGCUAACUGAGCGAUGAGUGCUAUAGAAGCGGUUGAGGAAUUCUCUCUCCAUUUAUUCCCAGCUAUCACUUGACUCUGGUUCUAAGUCAGUGUACCAAUUGAAUGUAGUGCCUCGGAGUGAGCGAACAAAUUGCUUCACGAGUAAUCGUCAUUAGUGCCAGCGUUGUUACACAUCUCGAUGAAGUGGGCAACAUGUUGUUUAGGGUUACCUUUUCCAUCAAACUGCAUGAACUUUGGAGGUUGAUAACCCAUUGGCAUUCGAAGGUUGUCUAACCUUUUGGUGUAAGGCUUGCAAUAAAUAAAUGUAUCUUGAUAAGGCCCACCAUAUUGAGCCCUGAUGGUUUUCACGAUCAUGUCCUGAGGUUGUUGGACCGACAAAGAACCCACCGAGACGAUGUCGCCUUUUCUAUGCAACUUCUCACCCAACUCUGUUUCAUGACCCAAUCCUUUCUCACUGGAUUCAGCUUCAUGAUGUGGUCCUUUCUUAUGCACGUCUUGACCAAGUUCCUUAUCCUAAUGUGCCUCCUACUUGUUAAUGAGAGAAGCAAUUUGCGCAUCUUUCUCUUCGACCGUCUUCUUCAGUUUCGUGACUGCUUCACUUAUAUGGGCCAGCUGUUCUUCAAUAGACAUCUUUCAUGUCACCAUGACCUGCAUAGCCAUAGAAUAAGACUCACAUAUGGACGCUGAGGGUUUCAUGACAAUCUUCUUUUGUUGGUUGUCAGACGGGGAUCCAUGGUAUGAGCAUGUGCUCGAGUCAGCGUCUAAAACAGGCGAGAGUGAACGUUCUCUUGAAUUAUUUGAACCCGAAGAACUCCUUUCUUCAUUCCGAGAGUUUAUCUCAUCCGCUCGGGGUGUAUUCUUCUUUGCCCCCAAGAAGGCCAAGUUGAUAGCCAGCUCAUGCCUUCGAUUCACAUCUUUCGCCUUAGCUUGAUCAAGUCGGUAUGGAAGUGACAUGUUGAGUUACGAAUAUAGCAUUGGCCUUACUCCUGGUGACGACCCCAGCAGAGUCUCCGCUUGAGAAGGAAGCGCUCACACUUUUGCCUCUCGUCGCGGGAGCGAUUUGAAUAUUCUUGGAAGCCAUCGUUUUCGAUUUGUUGAGUGAUUUUGGAAUUGGAGAAAGAGAUGAGAGGCAUACAUGGUCCCACUAGGCGUGCCAAAUUUGUAAACACGAAUUUUCUGCGACAAAUGAGACAAGAACACAUGUACAAAAUAAUAUUUGUAUUAAUGAAAUUUAGGGUUACAAUCUCUGUAUUAAAUCCUCUUAUUCAAUCUCCAAAGUGUUUAAAGAAAAUUUGUGUUUAAUACAAGGGUCGUAGAGACUUGAUCUUGAUCAAACAGGUAGCACAAGGCUUGUUUGGUGUUUGAAUUUUUCUAGGGUAGAGGAAUCGGCAUGUAUUUGUUGUGCUUUGUAGCUCUUCCAAAGUGAGGAACCGGUGUUUGAAUUUUGUUUCUUACUUAGUGGAAUUUAAUUCACCAAAAUUUCAUUAUCUACAAUAUCAUAUUUGAUUUGUCCCUUUAACUAUUUAUAAACUAUUUGACGCUUUAAUUUUUGUUUCUUCUUAGUGCUUGGUUUGUCUCUGCCCCUGUCUUUCAUCUUGAGGCCUCCUAUUCAUCAAAUUAAAAUCAAUUCCGAUAAUUUGACAAUUUAACCAAAUUUUCUUCGAUUGAUUGACUUGAUUAAUAUUUGAUUUAAAUCAAAGUCAAUCACAUAAGAUUCUUUCCUUUAAUUUUGUCUUCACUUUAAUCCGUUUAAUGCACUCCGUCGGUUGUCAACACGUGUCACUUUUGACAACUAAUCCGAUUUUGAUGAGUCGUACGCCACAUGGGCGAAUUAUGGGGCCCACAAUUUAAUCCCCCAAACCCUAAUUAAUUUCUUACUUAGUGGAAUUUAAUUCACCAAAAUUUCAUUGUGUACAAUAUCAUAUUUGAUUUGUCCCUUUAACUAUUUAUAAACUAUCUGACGCUUUAAUAUUUUUUAAUAUUUUAUAAUAUAAGUGAUAGUCUAAAUCACAAGGAUGGGGAGAAUUUUCACACACACACUACCAAAGUAACAUGGACGUUCAAACCUGAGGCCACUAGUCUACAAAUCAAUGUCAUUUUUCUCUGGGUUAGACCCGAUUAGUAUGCUUUUUACAAUUUUCAAAUCCUGACGUUUAGUUUUCUUCAUAUUUUACUUGCAAUUUGUUUUGUGAAGUACUAAUUAUUACACGUAGCGAAUUAGUGAUCACUAAACAAUGAAUAAAAAAAUCAGAAUAAUUUAUGUUCUCCUUUUCUAUCAUUGGUAAUGGUAAACCAAGCAUAUGGGAACUAACAUCUGUCUCCAAAUGAACAUCCACAUGAGCAAAUUAUUUUUGUUGUAGGUAUCAAUCACAUGUAUAAAAGCUUCAAUCAAGAAGAAAAAGAAAAAGAACAUAAAGCUAUCUCGUCUUUUUUUAUAAAUUUUGUUAUCAGUGCAACAAUUACUUAUACUUUUGGAGAACCAACAAUUUUUUUUUUUUGUCGAGGAGACCAACAAUAUAAACUGAUACUUUGAAAAAUAAAAUUGUUAUAGACAGCUUGAGAAAAUCGGAAAGGGAUAGAAAAAGAAAAGUACAAAGAAGAUAGAAUGAAAGGUUCAAUUUCGACCACAUAAGCAACAAGACCUUCGACCAACAAAGAAAAAAGGAACAAGACCAAUAAUCGUAACGCGACAGCACAACAACAACACUAAAAAGGAUGUCAUGUCUCUUUGAAAGAAGUUUUGGUUAGGGAAAGGGAGGACCAUGUCGUGUUUCACAUGCUUGUCUUCCAUUUUUCGUUCCGAGAUAUUGCCAUGUACAAAUAAAACUCUUAUUAAAACUCCGAUUUUUCGUUUUGAAUUUGAGUGUUUUUUCAGAGAUAUGAUUUUUGAAAAAAUAUCUAUAAAAAUUAUUCGAAUAAUUAAAAUACAAUGUAAAAUUAUCUUCACAAAAAUAUUCAUCAAAUACACUUAUUUGAAUAAUCUCUCAAUUAAAGCUAUUUCUGAUAAAUCAAUUACAUAUACAUAGCUCAAAGUGUAUUAUUUUUUUCUAACAUAACAUGCACAACAUUUUGAAGUCAUCAAAGUGUAGGAUGAUCAUGAUCCUAUAGAGUCAUGAUUACCCCCACUUUUAUUGGUUGAAUUUCUGAAUCUUGGAUAACAUAUUGUGGGCCAUAGCCAUAGAUGAGCUGUGCUAGGGAGUGAGUAUCUGGGGGUGAAUAUACUCUUGCCGACACAACCCCAAGCUCCAACUGCCAUUCAAACGAGCUCCACCACCGGCCAUAAUAAAUUAUCUUAGUCAAGAAGAAAAGGAGGGAUUUGGUUCCCACCUCAACUUUUUAGGGUUUAUCUCCUUUUCCCUGAAAAUCAUCUUGUAUUAGUGUUUGUCCUGUUUCAAUUUCUCUCUCACCUCACACCUAUCCAACUAUGUUAAUUUGAUUGGAUAACGUGUCAGAUUUUAUGCAAAGAGGACCCAUUUAUCCAUAAGUAGUUGGGUCAGUUCACUCACCACACCUUUUUUUUUUUUUUUUUUUUAUAUAAUUUUUUUUUAAAUAUAAGCGAUAUUGAAGGAGUCGGAUUUUCUCACACUGAAAAUGUGUCGAGUUUCAAACCUGAAACUACUGAUCUGCAAGUCCCAUGUUCACCACUCACCCAUAACUUAACACAUCACACAUGCUUACAAAUCAUUUUUAUUUUUAUAGAGCUUGAAGUUUAUAAUAAAUUGGUUAAUUAACAUAGGUUUUCAGUAACAAAACAUAAGUUUUCGAUGAAAUUAUAAAUUUUAUAGCCACCUUGAUCACAAUUAUCACAAACUAUUACUUGAUCCAAGAGAAGUAGACGGCAAUCCGCAACAGUCAUUUAUCUGUGAAUUAUUUCUCACUACCAGAUGGCCCCAACCAGAGCAUUUCCUCCACUUAUUCUCUCUCUUACUCCAACAUGGAUUAAGGGGGGGCAGCAAAUUAGCAAUCUUGCCGGAAUGUUUUCCUACUGAUUAGUGUCUGAACGCUUAAUUUUAUCUAUUUUAAAUAUAUAUCUAUAUAUAUAUAUAUAAAAUAAAAGGUAGAGAAUGGUAAAAUAUUCAAAAUACCAAAAAAUAUCAUUGGUUAAUGUAAAUAUUAAGAAUUGAAAUUAUUAAUUAAAAAAAUUAAAAUUAAGAGAAAAAUCAGAAAGAAUCCUAUUUUUAUUACCCAUUAUCUUUUUAAUUCUAAAAUAAAUUUAAUUUUUUUUUAAAAAAAAAGCAUCUCACAGGCGCUGAAGCGCGUGUGAAGAGGCUAGUAUAAAAUAAUAAAAAAACCAAAUGACAAAGUUUAUGUUCAAUGAGAUGCUUGAAUGUUUAUUAAUAGACUAACCUCUUCACAUGCGCUUCUGCUCUUGCGAGAUCCUUUUUUUUAAAAUUAACAUUUAUUUUAGAAUUAAAAAAAUAAGGGCCUUUUAUCUGAUUUUUCUUUUAUUUUUAAUUUUUUUAAUAUGAAAAAGUAUGAAUUUACCAUAUUAUUCUCAUUUAAUUAAUAAUUUCAAUUCUUAAUGUUUACAUUAACCAAAAGUAUUUUCUGGUAUUUUAAUUGUUUUACCAUUCUCUAACUUUUACUAUAUAUAUAUAUAGAUUAUUUAUCAUGAAAACAAAAUAAAAUAACAUAUAUAAAAAUUAUUCCAUAUAGAAUUUAAUAUUCAACUAUUUCUUCUACAUGCCAAAAAUGUCGCGUUGAACUUAACAUCUAACAACUGCAAUGACCCGAACAAUAAAGGAAGCUACUGCUCUGGCCAUGUCUAUCUACCAAUGAGUUCAGUCCACGAAUUUCUUAAAUAAAACUAGAUUUGAAUUAUUUUGAUGGCAUUUUGUGACUCUCAUUCUGCAUUAUAGUAUAAUAAUAUAAUACGAUUUAACUCAUAUAAUAUGAAUACAAUUGUCUACUUUUUAUUAAAGAAAAUGUUAUCAUAAUACCCCACCUUAGAUGGGUAUCUACCCAUCACUUUACAUUUCAAUUUAUAGAGAGGACAGCAAAUCCUAACCGUUCACCAAAGCAUGGCACGUGGCAAAAUCAAGAUUAUCCAAUUUUAAGAUAUUUAUUAUUAGGAAAAAAUUUUAAAAAUAUCACUUGUACUUAUAUAUAAUUUCAAUUUGUCACUCAAAGAAAAUUUCUAAAGAGAUAUUAUUUUGAUUUAUCGAAAUUCCUAAAUUAGAAUAUGUGGCAUGUAAAACACACGCAGAAUUUUGGAUAGAGUUACAGUGCCAUACGACAAAUUAAGCAUUUUGAAAAAUUGAGAUGUGAGUUCUCUUAAAUAUUUGUUUUACGAUGAUGAAAUUGUAGAUGUGACAUUUAUAAGGUUUUCCCCUUCCUUAAAAAAUCAAACCACUUUUAACCUAAGGUUAUAUUUGAGCAUGCGACAGGAGAGAGUGAAGAGCCGAGGAAAAGAAGUUUCGCACCAGCGCAUUUAUAAAUACCCACCACCAUGCACCCAACUGUCUCACACCAUCAAAACCUCUUCUCAUAUUAAUCUUGCUCUCCAUCGUCCCGUUUCCGAUAUAAUACCCAAAAUACCCCGCCAUGUCUGAGGAGAAGCACCACCACGGCCUCUUCCACCACCACAAGGAUGAAGACAGACCCAUUGAAACCUCAGACUACCCUCAGUCUGGUGGUUACUCUGAUGAAGGACGUACAGGCAGCGGCUACGGUGGUGGUGGUGGCUACGGCGAUGGUGGUGGCGGCUACGGGGACAACACUGCUUAUUCUGGUGAAGGACGUCCCGGCAGCGGCUACGGUGGUGGUGGCGGCUAUGGAGAGAGCGCUGAUUACUCAGAUGGCGGCCGUUACAAGGAGACCGCUGCAUAUGGCACCACUGGCACCCAUGAAUCUGAAAUUGACUACAAGAAGGAGGAGAAGCACCACAAGCAUCUUGAGCACCUAAGCGAGGCCGGGGCUGCUGCUGCUGGUGUUUUUGCCCUGGUAUGGAUUUAACCACCUUUUAUAUAUGAAUCUUCUAAUUUUGUUCAUGAUUUUAGUUAUAUAUUAACCUUAAAUGUGAAGGAUCACAGUCAGAAAUUCAUACAUUUUCAAGGCUCAUUUCCCAAUAACUAAUUAAUCAUGCAUAGUAAGCAGAUCAUUGUAUACAACGGUUGUAUGUAAGAAUUUCUCGACGAAGCAGGGCGAAUGCUUUUAAGCUCCUUAGGCCUUGUCAACAUAACAAGAGAAGUGUGAAGAGUAAAUCUUCUCAAGUAUCAAAUGGAUUAAGUUUUUCUGAGACUAAUGUAAUUAAGAUCUGUCCCAGAAAUAAUUUGACAAAAUUAUAAAGAUAUUUUCAUUUAACAAUUGUAUCCAGAUGAGACAUAUAAUACAAUUAAAAUACCAGAUCCUAAUUAAUUAACUCUUAUUUAAUUUAAUAAUGAUCAUGAGAUGUGAUGUGAUGUGCAGCAUGAGAAGCACGAGUCAAAGAAAGACCCAGAGCAUGCUCACAGGCACAAGAUAGAGGAGGAGAUUGCUGCAGCAGCUGCAGUUGGGUCUGGUGGGUUUGCCUUCCAUGAGCAUCAUGAGAAGAAAGAGGCAAAGGAAGAAGAGGAAGAGUCUCAUGGAAAGAAGCACCACCAUCUCUUCUAAAUCUACAAAUAAAUACUAUAUUUUAUAUUUAUAUAUUGUGAUUUUACUUAUCUGUUAUGAGUGAGGUUUGAUCUCAACAAUGUUAUAAUUGUUGAGUGCUUAUGUGUGCUUGUUAUAUGAGUGCUAUGUAUCUAUCUAUUUCUCGUUGUUGAUAAUAAAUAAUAUCGUUUACUUGAUGUUAAUUUCUAUAUUAUUAAUUGGUCUUCUUUUUUCUUCUAAGAUAGAAAAUAUUAUUGUUCUCUUCUUGUGGUGGUGGUGGGUGUUAUCUUAGCCUCUUCUUAAGGAUAUUGCCUCUCUCUUUCUUUGGAAGGAGACAUUCUUACUUAGUGCAAAUCACAAUUUGACAUAUAUGUAAAAAUAAUUCAUAAAAAGCACCAAAACAAAAAUCUCAACAUACAUAUUAAUCUGUGAUUGGCAGAAAAAUAGAAGCUCUUAUUUCCAGGGAGUGAGGCAAGUAUUUUGCCCUCCUUAAUUUCCAUCAAGGUCACGAUUUAUUUUGUCAAUCCCAACUUUAGUAAAUUGACUUAGCAAGUAUCUGGCCCUAUCAGAGAACAAUACGUGGAUAUUGUGCACUUGAUUUUCAAUCGUGAGACCAUCAUGUUCACAAUAGUGCCAUUUAAUAUAAACAUAAAUUAAUUAUUAUUUUUAUAAUAUUUUAUACAAGAGAUACUGGAGAAGGAGGAAACUUAAGAUCUUAUAUGGAGGAGUAAAUUGGGGCUUCACUAAAUUAAUUGAAUAUGAUAUUUUACUCUCGUGAAGAAUUUCUUGAAUACGUGAUAUUAGAGUCUUUAGAUGAGCGAAACCGCAUAUAAUUAUAAUAUAUAUAUAUAUAUAUUUAGGAUCCAUAUAUUUAAUUUAUUAAUUUUUAUAUCGUAUAGUAUAAAUCCAUCUUCUAGUCUCUUUCAUGUGAAGUAAAGGGUCCCGGGGAAUAAUGAUAAAAGCAAUUAUGUCUUUCUCUUCCUUCUUCGUGCCAUUUAAGCCAAAACGUAGGGUAGCCAUCCAUUACAUAACGAAUUUUUGUUUAUGAAAAGUAUUACCUUCAUCAAAAUCACGGAAAAAUGACUAAAUAGCUCUCUUAAAAAACCCUUUCCAUUUAACAAUGAUGAAAGUAAAAUAUGCUCACAUUACAAGUGAGCAAUGAGGGGUUGACUCUAAUGACCCUAUACCUUCUUUCCUCCCAAUAAUAAUUUUGAGUGAAUGUGCAACUCAAAUUUUAACUCUCUUUAUCAUUCUUAUCACAAAUCGUACUUGAAAUUUUCGAAAUUCAUCAUUUUAGUCCCCCACAUUGCAAAUCGAUCAAUAUGACGUUUUAGUACAUACCUUGCCACCUUGGCUCAUAAGAUAAGGGAAGGCGGUGGAUAGAUUAUUGUCUUGGAAUUUUUCAAAUGACAACGAUGGAAUUUAAGAAACCCAUAUUCCAUAAUUAUUUGCAAGAAAAACUUAUAAUCUUUUUUUGGGUUUAUGUAUCCAAAUGUAAGGGAUUAGUGUGUGUGUAUAUAUAUAUCCCUUUUAUUGAUGGAUUCUUCAAAUAAUUUUAUUUGAGGGACGCACUACCAUACGAAUUUUUUUGCAACGAUCCAAACAAUCUAUUUUUUAAGUCUUCAUUCAUAGAUCAUCUUUACAAAAAAUUAGACAAAUCGAAAACUGAUUAGACAUCCAAUUGUGUCUUACAAAAUCAAUGAACAUGGGCUUCAAGAAGGUACUAAAAUUUUAAUUAUUUAAUUGAGUGGUCAAAUUAUAUCAGAUUGAAGUGAUUUUUUAUAGAGAUGAUAUUUGAAUGAAUAUCUACAAAAUAGAAGGUUUGGAUUAGUAAAAUAUAAUCCGGAGUAGGCCCUACAAGAGUGUCUCUCAAAUAAGCUUAUUUGAGGGAUCCCUCAAUGAAAGCUCUUUGUGUAUAUAUAUAUAUAUAUAUAUAUAUCUAUUUUUUAUUGCGUACUUCAAUUUUAUGCAAAUGUUAAAUCCAUCAUACUAUCUAGGGGUGGGCAUGGUACGGUAUAGUAUGGUAUUAAGCAUGUACCACUACCGAUACCGGAAAUUUAAAUCGGUAUGGUACGGUAUAGAAUUAUGAUUUGCUAAAAUUUGUACCGUACCGUACCAUGCCAAAUCGGUAUCAGUACAGUAUCGGUACCAUUUCGACACUAAAAUGACACAACUAAAAAAUGAACUAAUUCAAUAUUCAACACAUUCAUUCACCAAAAUAAGUGACGCCUAAGUUACAAAUUCAAAGAUAUUUUAGCUACUGAUAUUUUAGGCAGGGCUCGGCCCAGGGUCAUUCCUUGUUAGUUUAGUUUGUUGUCGGCUUAGUCCUACCAUUUAACCAAAAGAAAAAAAGCCUCCAUCUUAAUCAAGAUUCUAAGUGACUUUUCUACUAACAAAAAGUAAAGAGUCCAAGGAUAAUCCUAAAAUCAAAUGGUGAUAGGCACUAAUUUUAUUAAGAGAUAAAAGUACAUACUAUUUCUUUCUUUUCUUUCACUCAAGGAGUCUUGGUUGAAUACUUUACAACUAUUUUAUUUAUUAUAUUCUCAUCAUGAAAACCUUUUCACCUAUAAAUCAAAAAUUACUAAUUGAGUUGCUUGAAGAAAGAUGACUUUUGCCAAAUAAAUCAAAGAAAAAGCUUUUAAUUAUCAAAUGAAUCAAAGAAAAAGGCUCUAUAAACAAACACACAAAGGCAAUCAAAAUUAUAUUUAAGUACUAUUCAGUACGGUACGGUAUUGACCGGUACCAAAAUCUUGAUACCGCUACUAUACCAUACUCUAUUGGUAUGGUAUGGUACGGUACCAAAUAUCUUCCCAUACCAAAUGAAACGGUAUGAAAUUGGUAUGGUAUGGUACGGUUAUGGUAUGGUUUCGGUAUUUCGGUUUAAGAUGCCCACCCCUAACUAUCUAGCUUUCAAUGACUAAACGGUCAAAUGGUAUUAAUUCUACACCCUCAAUUUUUUGGUAAAAAUCUUGUUCGAUAGAGAGAAAGCUCGAUACCUAUUUGAUAGGUGUUUUUAUAAAUUUAAAAAAAAAAAAUUAGGCAUGAUUUUGUAAUACAAUAUUCGUUCAGGUUAAGAAUGGUAAAUUAACCUUUAUUUUUCUUUCUGACAUCAACGGGGUGAGGGCACUGGCGGACCCAUAAAUUUUUUAGCGGAGGUGCAAUAUUGACUAAGUAUGAAAAAUAGUUUUUCGGAAUAGUCAUCUUCUCAAGAUAAUUUUUGGCGUCUUUUAUUCCUUACACAUCAAAUAAGAAAACUUGAUUUUAUGAGAUUUUAGUAUGAAGUAUAUAUUGACUUAAUGAGCCAUCAUUUUUAGCCUAAAUCGUAUUUUGCACUAAAACCGAUUUUUCAUAUUUUGAUUUGGUAGGAAUUUGAUUUUCUAAUAUUUUUAUUUGAAUCCAAAUGGGAAGUACUUCCUAAAUUAAUGUAACCGCCACUAGGGGGUGGGGGGUGGGGAGUGGGGGAGAGAAACCUACUGGCAUCCGUUGACAAUAAAUAGAAAUAUAUUUAGUUUUCAAGGUGUAAUAAGUGAAAAGUUUUUUUUGAAGAAAUGUCUUCCAUACCGGCCGAGAGAGAGAGAGAGAGAGAGAGAGAGAGAGAGCCAAACAAUCCAGACCGUCCACCAAGGCUUGGAUAACUAGCAAAUCAUGUGAUGUGGCAAGAGCAAGAGAGCCCCACUUCAGGGGGGAGAGAGAAGAGAGAGAGAGAUCCAAACGAAUCCAGACCGUCUACCAAGGCAUGGAUAGGUAGCCAUGCAUGUGGCAAGAGCAAGAGAGCCCCACUUUAGGUGGAUAUUUUACGUACGAGCUUGUGAUAGAGAAGAGCCACAAAUUAAAGCCAGAAAGAGAGUUUUGGGACAUCCAACGCUUAUAUAAGCCCCCCUAUCACCAUGCAUACCCAACGCAACACCCCUUACCUCAUAAUCUUCCUUCAUCCUCGCAUUUUCUUCAAAAUACCCAAAAUACCCCUCAACAUGGCUAACCAGGAACAGCACCGCCUCGGCCUCUUCAACCAGGACAGAGAAGAAGACAAAUCCUCAUCCUUCUCUCAGCCCGGUUAUGGAGAUCAAGGCCGCACUGGUGGUGGUUACGGCGACAGCACUGGCUAUGGCGACUCCACUGGUUACUCUUCUCAAGGACGUGCCGGUGGUGGUGGCGGCGGCUAUGGCGACAACACGGAUUACUCCGGUGAAGGACGCCGUACUGGCGGAGGAGGCUACGGCGGCAGCACUGAUUACUCUGGUGGUGAAGAGCGUCGUGCUAGUGGCGGCGGUGGCUAUGGCGACAGUUACUCUGGUGAAGGACGUCGUACCGGCGGCGGCGGCUAUGGAGACAGCACUGAUUACUCUGGUGAAGGACGUCGUACCGGUGGGGGCGGCGGUGGAUACGGAGACAGUUACUCUAGUGAGAGACGUACUCAAAAUGUCGGUGGCGACGGAGACAGUUACUCGGAAGAAGGACACGGGGGCCGUGGCGAGACCACUGCUUACUCUUCUGAUGGGCCCCGCGGCGGACAGCACAGUGAGACGUCUGAAACCUAUGGGUCUCGUGACUCUGGAGACUACAAGAAGCAGGAGAAGCACCACAAACAUCUCGAGGAACUUGGGGAGCUAGGUUCUGCUGCUGCCGGCACUUAUGCAUUGGUAGAUUAAUGUUUCAACCCUAUUUUUCUGAUUUAAUUUAUUAUUUUAAUUAGGCAUACUAAUUGUGGAUUUAUGAUCAUUCUCAAAGGCAUAUUAGUGCGCAUGAUUUGUGAUCUUAUUGACAAAAUAUAUAAUUGCCAAUCCUACUUUGCGUUCACAUAAGUAUAAUGAUUAUGUAAUUUCCAUUUUUUUUUCAAACACUAUUGAAAAUAUAAAAGGAGAAACUUUGACCAUAAAGUUGUUUUUUUUUUUUUUCGGCAGUAUGAGAAGCACGAGGCAAAGAAAGACCCAGAGCAUGCUCGCAGGCACAGGAUAGAGGAGGAGAUUGGGGCAACGGGGGCAGUUGGUUCGGGUGGGUAUGCCUUCCACGAGCAUCAUGAGGAGAAAGAGUCAGAGAGAGAAGAGGAAGAGUCUCAUGGAAAGAAGCACCACCACCUCUUCUAAAUAAUCUAAAUUAAUCAAUAUCGAUCUUUAUUGAUUACCUAUUUAAGUGGUUAAUUAUUUGUGUGCAUCCCUUCAAUUAUUUGUGUGAUGUUUAAUUAUGAUGAAUACUCAGUAUUUUGUUUCUGAGAAUUGAUGCAUGUUGAGUGUAUAAGUAAGACUCUUUGUUUAAAGGGUCAGUAUAUAUCCUGUUUUCUUUUAGCAUGUCAUGUAUUUAAUUGUUAAUCGUUUACUCGGUGUAACUUUUACAUAAUUUUUUAGUGGUAUUAAUUUUUUUUUUAUUUUUUUGUACAAGCAAUAUUGAGCGAGCGGGAAAUCAAACCUAGGACCCAUACAGGGAUAAUUACUCUUAACUACUUAAGUUAUAAACCUCUUGUGUAUAUAUCUUAGCCAGACUUAAUUAACAACUCUAUAUAUGGAUAAGAAUAUAGAGUUGAGAAAAUAUGCAGAGGAAAAUCAUAUCAUUGAUUUUUUGUUGAAUCCCCUUUACCUUGUUGUAACUAAGUGAAAAAUAUGGUGCUUUGCAUAUAGAAUUCGAUAGAAACUGAUUAUUCUAAUCAUUCCGUCUUAAAUAGUAAUACAUUCAUAAAGGUGAGACCAAUUAAGCCAUUAAAACACUGCGACUGAUUCAUGCUAAAACAUAAUUAAGAUCAUGAACAAAAUAGACCCUACUAGUUAAGUAACGAACGUGGCUAGAGACCCCAUAUGUGUUACAUUUAUUGAUUGAAGAUCUCAAAUUCUUCAAGGGACCAACUUCUUCCAACCAGGAACAACUUUUACAUUAGUAGGAUCAUGACGGCGGGGAUUUAACAUGAUCGGCUUCAUCGCAAUAACCCUUGAGUACAUCAGUCUCUUCUACGGUAAACCCUAGCGUGCCAAGCAAGGCAGGCCUACACUGAUGCUCAAUGGUCCGAAUGGCUUCACAGCAACUGUGACCCAAGUAAGUCUCACCAUUAAGAAAAAACAUGACAACCUCACUAGAACAUGACUGGAGCUGAAACAAAGAGUCCCAGCAGUUAGAAGAUUCUUCAUCCAAAUUCAACCAGGCUACAAGGUUCGAGUUUGACCGAAUUAUGUUAGGAUUCAAAGGGCGAGCACUUGUGGCUAAGAAUGGCAUAGUCAAGGCUAGAAGAGCUGUAAGAAGGAAGAGCUUGAAAGUUGUGUAAGCUGCCAUUUUGAUUUUGUGGAUGAGUGAGGUGAUUGUGUUAUAAAAUGGAAGAAAAGAAAAAAACACAGAAAACCGUUACGUGCAUUGGGUGGUGAAGAGGCUGCUGAGAGUAACUCAUAAUGACAAUAAUCAUGUGAUACUUAACAGCAGGAGAAGUUGAUGGGACUCAACUCAUCAACUGAUGAUGCAUAUAACAAAAUUUGUGGGAAUUAAAAUAAUUAAACGUAAUUCCCAACCACAGACGAAUUAAUGGAUAAUUUAUAGUCUUUGUGAUGGUUGGUUUGCUUGCUAGUGUUGGUUUUGUUUGCUCAUGGUCAAAAGGAUUGACCAUUCGUUUGCUUAUCGAAAGUUGGUUAGCGUAUUCACUAUUCGUGCUCAUUCCAAAAGAUUGAUUGAUUGACCAUAAUUGGAUGAUUAAAUUCAUGUUUGCUUUACAUUUUAAUUUCAAAUUUGUUCUCAAAUUGACAAAGGUGAUUUCAACCUAUUGUAAUGUAAGGUAAGGGAGGGUUUGAACUCGGGUACAAGAAGCAAACACACUACAUUGACCAACUCGCCUUUACCACAUUUGCAAUUUUAAUUUUCUAUUAGAUUUUUAGUUCUUGGACUCCAAACUAUGCUUCAACUCUCAUUGGAAUUUGCUUAGAGCUAGACAAAUUAAUAAUUUUGUGAUUUGUUGAUUAGCUAGAUACUUGAGUUGGCUUCAUUUUGGGCUUCAUUUGAUCCCAUUCGGCCUUCGGUUGAUGGCUCUUGGAUGUUUGUUUGAACAUAUCUAUGGCAUAGAAUACAUCUAAUUGUAGUUCCAAAAUGUCUCAAAAUAAAAAUCGAAAGAAAAUAAUAGCUCCAAAAUUAUUGCCUCUCAAAUGAUUUCUCUAGCGUGAAAAUGUUGUCAUCAAGACAGACUACUGUGUGAAUAUUAAUAUGAAGACUACAUUCUCUGCUUUUGUGGAACUGUGAGUACAUUUUGACUAGAUUGACAACUUCUCAUUCAUAAAUCACCAAUCUCCAAAUAAAAAGUUACUAUAGUUUUAUUCAAAAUAGAACUAGUUCUGCCAAAUUCUGCUCAACAUAUUCUGAUGUUAAUGAACCUCUCAGAAUUCCUGUCGGUUGAACAAUUUAAAACUGAGAGAUGCUAAAUAAGAGAAGACUGCAUAAGUGAAAGAGAUUGUAUAAACUAUCAAAGAGAUGAUCAAUGAAGCAGACAGGGGAGGAGUUCCGACAAAGCAAUUGGUCGGUUUUAUAUUGAUUCAAUGCAAAUGUUUACGGGUUUGAUUGAGAAUUCUUGUUGUCUUAUUCCAUCCUGCACAAAAUAGAAUAGAGCAGUUUAAAUAGUCACAUAAGUUGUGUCAAUAAGAACCAGGUAGGUGAUCCUGAGGUGCAAGUUUCAUGCGAACCUGACCAAUAAGUACAUGGAUACUUUCGAUCAGUUCAAGUUGCACAUUAGCAGUGUGCCCAGUACCGGCCAUGGCAUCAGGAACCCAAAUUUCAGUUGACUACAGGACACAGUUGGCUGGCUUCAACAGCAGUAGUCUUGUUAUUAUGCACUUGAAUGCAGAAACAAACAAAAAAAUCAGUAUGUCCUGUUUAUUUGCAUCAUAAAUCUUGCAUAUAGUUUUGCAAUGGAAAAAAAAAAAAAAAAAGUAGCAAGGUAAAUUGUUCUCCUCUCCUAGCUAAUAUCAUUGAAAUUUGUUGGAAGACAUAAUUGCUGGAAGACAUAAUUGUUGGAAGAUAUAUCAUUGAAACAUACAAAACAAACAACCAUUCACUCUAUCUUAAGAUAGAUGAGAUCAUGGAAGACAUAUACGUGUUUGCUAUGAUUUGCAGUACGUUAACAGAUACUUUGCUCAAGUGCUAUAAAAUGUGCAGCAACAUGACAAAUGUACAUGAGAGAGAGAGAGAGAGAGAGAGAGAGUGCAAAGGAAUUAUCAUCAAAGAUAUGAAUCUAAUGAUAAGUGUAUGGCUAGAAAAGGAAAUGGCAUAGUCAAGGCUAGAAAAGCUGUGAGAAGGAAGAGUUUGAAAGUUGUGUAAGCUGCCAUUUUGAUUUUGAUUAUUGUGGAUGAGUAAGAGAUUGAUACGAAUAAAGGGUUUUAUAUAGAUGGUGAGGUGAUUGUGUUAUAAAAUGAAAAAUAAAAAACGUUACGUGCAUUGGGUGGUGAAGAGGUUGCUGAGAAUAACUCAUGUGAUUAUUUAACGGCAGGAGAAAAGGAAUUAUCAUCAAAGAAACAAGUGAUGAAUCUAAUGAUAAAUGUCUAGCUAGAAAAGAAAAUUCAGGGAGACAGAUGGUGGUGACUUACUAAAGUAUUGAGGUGCAGAUAUUUGAGGAGGAGGAGUUUUUAGCAAAAUUUUAGUUCCUCUUUUAAGAAUAACAGUUUUUAUUAAACUUUUCAACAAUAGCGACAAAUAAGAGGGGCAAGACCUAAGUAGCAAAUCAAAAAUCCUAUGCACCCCCUGCUGUAGUUGAAAAUUUUCAUAAAAAGUGAGUUGUUAAAAAGAGGGAGGAAAUCUUUACAAGUUGAGAGAAAUUCAGAAAUGCUCCUAAAACAAAACAAGGAAUAGAGCCAAAUAAAAAAACAGUGGGAGAACCAAAUGAAGGAGCAAUAGGUGAAAAACAAAACUUAGGGCAAUAUACGGCCAAAAGAAUGAAGCACAAGCAAGCGAGAAACAACAUCAUUGAAAUACAUCAAAUCCCAAAAAAAUGAAAACUAGAAUCAGCGAAAGAAGCAACUCACAUUGAAAUACAGCAGCUGUGAUGCCUCUUGCUUUGAAAGUGAGGAAUCAUAGGUUAGCCCCAAUCACAUCGAUCUUUUUUCUUUUUCUGGGCCGAGCUUCAUCAACAACCUCAUUUUAAUUCAUCUUGGUCUGCCUCUUCGGAAAGAGCAUAGGUAUUGCAGAAGAGAGAUUUUUGGUGAGAGCUACCACUUCCACUAGGACCAGCGUCCUUGUCAUUGUGGCGUUGUUGACCUUGUGCAUCAGCUGAUUUGGUAGGACAAGUAGUAGUGCUCUUGAUGAUGGAUUUGUUCAUCAUGAUCUGGUUGAGUUGUUCCACAUCUUGCUUGUGCACCAAACGAAACCCACACUUCUUCACAUUUUUGUCGUAUACGUACCGGUUUUUGUCUUGACAAAAAUAUUCAGUUUCGAAGAAAACCUUUAUCUGACUGCAUAUCUUCUGAAGUGGUUUACAAGGUAAAUAAAUUACCCAAAGGUGAUCUGACACAACAUCGCCUGUUUUAAAAAGUUUUGGAAGUACUUCAUAUGACACAACAUUGCCUGUUCCUUCUGCGAAACAGCUAAUACGAAACAAACUAAAAUCAGAAAGAUCAGCCUGAAAUUCAACCACAGCACAUAAAGCAAUUCCCAUCCACGUGGUACAUGAAUCCAGAGGUAGCUCCACAAUUAGGGAAUCUCCCAAACUUUGAUUACUAAACCACUCUGGAAUUUUCCUUCGAGGAGUUACAAUUUCGAAUUGGUAGUCAAAAGGCGUAGGGAUUACCUGUACCAUAUACAUAGAUAUUUAUGAGGUUAGCAAGUUGUAAUUAUUAUUAUAGCAAACAACAAAAGAGAGACAGACAGAGAGAGAGAACCUAAAGGUAUCGCUGUAGCAUUUUCAGUAUUAUACUAUCGCAGCCUUCAUUGUCAACCAAUACAAAGCAAUUGGCACAAUUAAACUGAAGAUAACCUCUUUUGUUAUCCACUAAUGACCAAUUUGACGAAAGAUGUGGUAACAUUUUUAAGGAAGUGCAAUUGGCUAUGUUUAUAUCCACCAAUGAGAUCAGCUUAGAAAGAUCUGGCAAUUGUUCAAGACUUUGGCACCCAUUCAUCCAAAAUAACUUAAGCUUAGAAAGACAUCCAAUGCUUGCAGGAAGGCUAACAAAAUUGUUUCCACUAAGCUUUAAUUCUUCUAAAGCGGGCAAGUAGCCAAUAUCGUUGGGAAGAUCCCCUUCACAAACAUCACAAUUACUCAGAUCCAAUUCCCUCAAAGAAAAUAAACCAUCUAGCGAAGCCAACACAAAGGCCUUUCUUCCAUUUAAGCGGGGGAGGCCCCACCAAAACCUUGAAGGCUGUGAUCCACUUUUUCCACCCAAAGUUAGAUCCCUUAGUUUUUUCAAACCAACAAUGGAGUGUGGCAGCUGUCUUAUAGAAGUUUCACACAAUUGAAGCUUUAUAAGAGACUCCAUCUCCCCCACGUUCUCUGGGAGUUUGUCCAUUUUUGAGCAUCCACGCAUCCAAAGCAAUUCAAGAGACUUCAAAUUACAAAUUUCACUAGGAAGACCCGCAAGAUUUUUGCAAUUCAAUAGACGCAGACUAGUAAGGCCAACCAGACAUCCUAUUGAUGCAGAUAAUUUCAAAAUGGAAGUCCUACUUAAACAAAGCCAUGAUAAAUUUUUCAUUUGCCCUGAAAAUUCUGGAAUCUUUUUCAAUUUUAAGCAAAAACCAAGAUCCAAGCGUUUAAGACAUUUGAGAUUUGCAAUUGACGGGUGAAUCUCAACCAAAUUCUUACAACUUCCAAAAUCCAACUCCUCAAGAUUCUGAACACCAGAGAAAUUUGGGGUUGUGGUCAAGUUUUUAGAGUAACUAAGGUCCAUCGUUUUCAAGUUGGGCAAGUCCUGUACAAUUCAUAACAAUGGUAGAAUAGAUAAUUAGCUCAGAUUUAUUUUAAUUUUUGAAACAAAAUAUUUAAAAUAAAUAAAAAAAACUAAUUUCUAGAAUGGCAUAUGGUCAUUACUCUUACCUUUCGUCCAUCCCAAAGCCGAAGAAGUUUGCUCUCACGCAUCACAAGCGCAACAAGGAAAUUCAGUUGAAAACUUGAUGGGAGAAAUUUGGAAGGAUACUGACUCCAUUUGAUAAUUCUCAAGGAAUUAGGAAGAAUUUUGGGGCUUGAAGAAAUGAUCACAUUGUCAAAUUCAAGAACUUUCAGGUUACACAUCUUAGAGAAGGCUUCACAAUUCCAAUCUGCCAUUUCAAGUCUCGCCAUGCGUAAGGCAAUGCCUUUAAUUUUGUUUGUUGCCUGUAAUUAAGAAUAGUAAAGGAAAAUUUAAUUGCACAUUUAAGUCAAAUUUCAAGAUAAAAAUAAAUCAUAUUUCUUUCAAAACUUGGUAUUUUCUACAUAAUUCUUACCGUAUUGUUUAUGAAUACAUGAGAGAUAUCUUCACGAUUGCACAAUCGACUUCGUCUACCAGGCUCUUCAAAACACUCCCGACGAACAAUUUCCAAUGCCAUUUCUUGUAUCAAAUCAUGCAUCUCAACAUUGUUGUUUGAAAUAUCAAUAGUUAAGAGGGAUUUCUGAACGAGAGCAUCUAUCCCAAUACGACCGCAUUGGCCACAAAUGUCUAGUAUUUCAAUUACAUGCUCCUUGAACUUCCCCUUAUGAAAAAAUGCAACAUCAAGAAAUAUAUCCUUGUUCAUCUCAUCCAGUCCAUCGUAACUUAUUUUAAGCAAAUCAAUAAUUUCUGACUUGGAAAUUUUCCGCAGCUUAUCCAAUUCACUUUUCCAUUCAUCUGGAUCUCUCUGAUACAAUAAGCAUCCCAAAAGUUUAAGAGCUAGUGGAAGCCCUUUGGCAUAAUUUACAAAACCCUUUGACAAUUCCAAAUAACCUUCCUCCGGCUCAUUUUUUUUAAAGGCAUUCCGACUAAAGAGCUCAAGAGCAUCAUCAUCACCUAACCCCUCUACCUUACAUGAUAUAUCAUGAUUAACUAGCAACCGUUUAUCUCUAGUUGUAAUAAUGAUUAAACUCCCCUUACCAAACCAAUCCUUUUCACCAGCCAACUUUUCAAGUUGGGUUGAUUCACUCACAUCAUCAAGAAUGAGAAGAACCUUUUUAUUAUACAAGCAAUUCUUAAUGACAGAGGUUCCCCGCUGUUCAUCCCAAACUUGAGUAAUUGAUCCUUAAGAUUGGGGAAAGAAGUUGUCUUUGUAGAUCAACAAGAUUACCACGUUGAGAAACCUCUCUAACAUUAGCAAGAAAGCUGCUAACUUCAAAAUGGGUAGAAAUGCUAUCAUAAACUAGCUGAGCAAUGGUUGUUUUGCCAAUUCCGCCCAUCCCCCAUAUCCCUAUAAAGCGAACAUCAUCCGUGGGAUGAGCUAAAACCAAAUCUACUUGCUCACGUAUAAACUUCAUUCCCACUAACUCUGUGGAAUCUAACAAUUUGAAUCUGUGAUGCACUUUCUCCCACACCCAUUCAACAAUAUAUUCAAUAAGCUUUCUUUCACACCUACAAAGAGGAAAAGUAAAACGAUCGUGAAGUCUAAAAUAAGAAGAUACGAUGGCUUACGAUCAAAUGGCAUACGAAAAAACUUGCUCAUUCUUUGAAUCAAACCCAGAUAAAUUGGCCACUUCAGUUAAAGCAGUUCUCCAGCUCUUCACCCUUUCUCUGUCUUCCCUAAACCUUUCCUCAUGCUCAGCGAACGCGCAAGCAAAACUACCGGUUUGUUUUCGUACGUCAGAAGGAUCCACAUGAUAAAACACUGGCAGAACGGCGCUCUUGGAUUUCAUGCAUUGGAGAAUCUCUGUAAGCUCAUCCAAGCACCAGGUAGAAGAAGCAUAUUUUGGCGAGAGAACAACGAUUGCAAGCCUCGAUUCUUGGAUUGCGUUGAAGAGCCCCGAAGAAAUAGCUGUCCCUCUUUCAAGCUUAGGAUCGUCCUUGAAUGUUUUAAUACCCCUGAGCUGCAAUUCGUGGUAUAAAUGCGAUACAAAGCUAAGUCGAGUGUCCUCACCCCUGAAACUCAAAAACACAUCGUAGUUCGGUGAAGGAAGAAAGGCAGAGUCUCUUUGGGUGGUCAAUGCCAUUUGGCAAUCUGCUGCUGCUGUAAACACUCAAUGAAAAUAAGCCUUUCGCUAAUUAAAUCUUCAAAAAUCCAAACACUCAACUAAUAAAUAGAAAGAUGAUUAUAAAUGGCUUGCAAAAAGAAAAGGAUUAAAAUUUAAAGAGGUCUUUUUUGGGUAAUAUAGUAAACCAGAGGAAAACAGAGGAAUUCAACCUAUAAACAUUAGAAGGAACAAAAAUACGAAUUUCAACAUUUAAAACAAAAAUAUAAGCCACAUGACUACACAAGUGAACUAAAAAUUGCAUAUGCUUUAGUUAAUGUUACCUGAACAAAACAGAUAUGGAAAUGUGGUUCGUAAGACAACAACCAAAAGACCAGCAAACCAACCGGAAACUCACAAUAAAUACUUCUUCUCAAGAUCAGCCAAAAAACCAGCAACAAGAAGCAAAGCUAACAGUCAGAGAGAGAGAGAGAGUUGCAAAAACCUUGUAGUGGCGAGCACGUUUUCUGUUGUCAGCUAUCUCCAAGUCCAACGUCCAAUUGAAGUCCAAGUCUUCGGUCAAUGAGUGAUUUCUUUUGAAAAGGAAGGAGGGCAUUUCAUUUUCGGACAAGUUCUUUUGCCUUUUAUUUUAUUUUAUUGUCAAUUAUUUGAGUGGUUGCAUAGUUUUAUUUUGGUCAAGUUUAAAAAAUAGCUUUGAUCUAAACAAUGAAUGAUUAAAUAAAAGAAUGUUGUUUGGCUCAUUCCGUAAAACGAGAGUGGCGAGCACGUUUUCUGUUGUCAGCUAUCUCCAAGUCCAACGUCCAACGGAAGUCCAAGUCUUCGGUCAAUGAGUGAUUUCUUUUGAAGAGGAAGGAGGGGUUUUCAUUGGGAAAUAACUCAAAAUACCAUCUACGAGGUACUGUUCAUCUUCCCUUUUUUAGAAAUUUGGGGUUUUUGUGAAUUUGGUUUAUGGUGUAUGGAUUUGUAUGAAAUUGGUUUAUGGGUUUCUUCCAAAUUGGUUUAGGGUUUUAGGGUUUAGAUGUUGCUCUGAAAUUGUUUUGGGUUUAUGGGUUUGUAUGAAAUUGGUUUAGUGGUUUCUCUAGAGUCUAGGGUUUGGAAUUGAUGAGGUAUCUGAUAUGGGCUUCAGAUUACCCUAAUUUGUUUUUCUUUAUUGUGAUUGUGAUUUUAGGUAAGGAUUGGGUGAUGGAUUUUUAUUUUGGGUCAUCUGAUAUGGUUUUGAGAUUGAUUUCAUAUGUAAGAUUUUGGUUAGUGUUAAAGUAAAUAAAUGGGUAUUUCAUUCCUGCUAGCUAAGAAUUGGAUGAUGGGUUUUUGUUUUGGGUUAGCUGAUAUGGUUUUGAGAUUGGUUUCAUAUCUAUGAUUUUGGUUUUGAGAUUGGUUUCAUAUCUAUAAUUUUGGUUAGUGUUAAAGUAAAUAAAUGGGUAUGUCAUUCCUGCUAGCUAAGGAUUGGGUGAUAGGUUUUUGUUUUGGGUCAGCUGAUAUAUAUGGUUUUGAGAUUGGUUUUCAUAUCUAUGAUUUUGGUUAGUGUUAAAGUAAAUAAAUGGGUAUUUCAAAUGGCAUAACAAACUUCAAAUGCGGGCUAUGGAUGAUGUUGAAGGGGUUCUUACUUCUUUGCAUUUCCUUGCACAAAAUCAUGAAUUCAUGAAAAGGAGUACAGAGCAGAUGGCACUAUACAAUUGGGCUGUGUGUGCACUGAGAGAAUAUGGCUAAAAGUUAAAAUUGUGAACUUUUUACUAUUUUCCAAAAAAGCUCCUAGUGAAGUGCAUGACCUCGGCUGAAAAAUGGCAUAAAAAACUUCAAAUGCAGAGCAAUAGGAUCCUUAAAUACACAACUUUGCAUAGCAAAAUGUUCUUUUAGAUAUAAAAAAAGCUCGUUUGAAUACAACAGUGGGGUAAUAUGCUCUUUGAAUACAAUGAUAUAAUAAUAGGCUCUUGAUAAGUGCUGAUUUUGUUUUGUUUUGUUUUUUAUUUUUUUUAAAUAUGUGAGCUUAAUUAUGAAUUUGAAUGCAAUAUUUUUGAACAAUUGAUUUAUAAUAGAAAAACGACAUGCAUACAUCCUGAACGACGACUCUUUUAUCAUAGGAUAUUGGUAUUGCUAGUAGCUAGUUAUUAGUAUUUGUGUCCAAGAAGACCCCAUUGUGAGCACAACUUUGACAAAGUGGUUAUAAAGAUAACAGGUGCUAAGAAAUUAGAUAUUCUGAUUUGUUCAAUUACAUUGCACCAUCUUAUUAUAGUUACAGCUAACUUGAACUGGCUUACUGAACAGUUGUAACUGAUAAAAGAGUUAUAUCCAGCACUAUUUAUUUGGAUAUGACAAUUUUCUAACUAGAUUUGAGCCGUUGAAUAAGUAGGUCAGUUGUAAAUAGCUGGGUUUUGUUUAUGCUCUGUAUUUUUUGUUUAUUUUUCACUUAAUAUCCUAUAAUAGGUUGUUGAUAAGUGCUGAUUGUUUAUUGCUUGUUAUUGUCUAGAUUGCAACAGACUAAAAUUAUUUUUAUAAUAUUGGCGUGCAAGGAAACAUGAUUUCUUCAAUUAAGUUGAUGAUUGCAGAGGAAGAAAAGUUCCAGGGAAAAGCAUUGUCCCUAUCUCAUAUAAAGACUGCAAUCAGUACCAUAAAGGAGAAAUUCAGUCAGCAACAGCUACGAAGGUUUGAAGAGAGUUGUUUUGGUCAUCUCCUACUGAUUGAGGACUUGAAGUGGACUUCGCCAAUUGUCCACGGCUUGUUGCUGAGGAAGGCUGAUUCGAAGACAGUUUCCCAAGUAAACGAGAUCAAAUUCAUCGUUUGCAAUAGGGUGAUCCAAUUCACGGCGCAGCAAUUUUGCGUCGUCACAGGGCUAAGGUUUGGAAACCUUCCCUUUAUUCCGAUUGCCACUAAUGAGAACUGCUCUUUGAAAAGGAAGUACUUUGGCAACGAUAAAAAUGUCAACCUUUUGGAAUUAGAAAAAGCCUUUCUCGACUGCGCUGAUGUGGACGAUGUAUUGAAGUUUGGAUUUGUAUACUUUGCUGUUUUUGUGCUGUUGGGCAGUGAAAAACACAUUCACAUUGACAUGCGAUAUUUGAAGUUGGCGGAAAAGAUUGAAGAGUUCGUGAAGUAUCCAUAGGGUGUUGUGUCUUAUGCCAAGACAAAUGUGUCACUUCUGAGGGCACUUUGUGCAGAUUACCAGCGAGUGAAAGUAGGGGUGGGCGCGGUCCGGUUUGCAGCUCACACCGUAACUUUAAGGACCCGCCCCGAAUUUUCUCAAAACCCGAGACGAACUCUUUGGAAAUCCUGACAUCACCCCGAUGCCAGGCCCACUUACUAAAAACCGAGACUUCCUGCCGAAAUUUCGGCAGAGUCUCCCCUAUAAAUUGGACAUUUCCCAAAAUUUCAACCUGCAUAAAAGCACAUUUAAUAUUCCCAACUGGCAGCAUGCACAAUAUAAUUUCAUGCAGUUCACAUAAAUUGGCCUUCGGCCUUCCAAAAAUUCUCAACAGACAACCAAACCAUCCAAAUACAAUUUAUGACUAACAUUUAGUCUGCGGCUGCACCUAAUAACCUUAGGCUGCCUACGUACCCUCCUUGAGGGAUCAAGCCACACGUAGUUCUUCCCUAAAACCCAAUUCCACACUUGGGCGAUACCUUAUUUCAUUUCUCUGGAUUUCAUAUAAUCUCCCCAUACGCCGGUACAACCAACGCCACGUAUGGGGCCUGUCAACACGCCGGAUAACCUACGCCACGUGCGACCAUGCCAUAUUAUCAUCAUAUCUCCCCAUACGCCGGUACAACCAACGCCACGUAUGGGGUCUGUCUCAACGCCGGAUAACCUACGCCACGUGAGACCUGCACAUCAUAUCACAUAACUCCUCAUACGCCGGUACAACCAACGCCACGUAUGGGACCUGUCCCAACGCCGGAUAACCUACGCCACGCGGGACCUCAACAUCAUAUCACAAAUCUCUCCAUACGCCGGUACAACCAACGCCACGUAUGGGGUCUGUCGACACGCCGGAUAACCUACGCCACGUGCGACCUCAACACAAUAUCACAAUAGCUCCCCAUACGCCGGUACAACAAACGCCACGUAUGGGACCUGUCUCAACGCCGGAUAACCUACGCCACGUGAGACCUGAACAUCACAUUGCAAAUCUCCCCAUACGCCGGUACAACCAACGCCACGUAUGGGGUCUGUCCCAACGCCGGAUAACCUACGCCACGCGGGACCUAACUUUCACUUGGUGGUGCUUGUAGUGAAUCCAAAAUCCGGGGAGGUACCUAAAGUAGUGCGUAUAGCACUCCAAACUGACAUUCUAGACUCUGUUGUACCCUGGUACAACCAUAUAUAAUUAUAACUACAUCAAUUAAUCCUAAUAUUGUGUAACCCUCCACAAUCAUCUAGCACCCGAU
This 50137-nucleotide long non-coding RNA is filed under the name Prunus persica (peach). Its description in RNAcentral is "long non-coding RNA (PPER_LNC007674)". Lineage: Eukaryota; Viridiplantae; Streptophyta; Magnoliopsida; Rosales; Rosaceae. The record is from RNAcentral.